GGCAUCGUUCAGAUACCAUACCAAAGAAUGAGUCCAGAUUUUCCUCAACCUCCUUCCAAUUGUCAUGCGUUAAGUCCAUUUUUACAAGAAGUCCAGCAACGACAACAAUAGAGAGAGGUAAUCCUUGACAUUGUUGUACAAUAUGCUUCCCUAUUUCUUUUAGAAGAGGAGGACAAUGAUCUUUUAUGAAUAUUUUUUUGGUGAAUAGAUUCCAACUAUCUUCUAGACUUAGGAAAGACUUACUAUGAGGCAGAAAAUCAGGGUUGUUGACAUAAUCAGCAACAUACUUGAGCUGAGUGGUUAAUAGAAUUCGGCUUUUAUUGUUAUCUUUGGGAAGUAUUCUUUGGAUUUGGUCCCAUGCCUCAGUACCCCAAAUAUCAUCUAUGACAAUUAGAAAUCUCCUACCCUUCAGGCCUCUAUACACAAUCUCCAUUAGUUCACCAUUGCUUGUUUCUUGCUUGCUUCCAGUAAUUGAAGAGACAAGUUCAAGAAGCAUUUGUCUCUCACUGUAUUCUUGAGAGAUAGUGACCCAUGCUUGUUAUCAAAUCGAGAACGAAUGUAUGAAUCAUCAUAAACUUUUCUGGCAAGAGUUGUCUUACCUAUACCUCCCAUACCAAAAAUUGGUAUGACAGGUAACUCGUCUGUUUGGGCAGUGAGGCGAUCAAGUAUGGUGUUGAAGUCAUCCUCCAUCCCAACAAUACUAUUUUCCUCAAUUGUACUUUUUUCUGGUGAGGAGAGAGUUACUGCGGAUUUGCUUCCAUGCUUGUUAAACUCAUUCUGCAUCACCUCUUGCCUGAGAGAAUCAACAUCUUUUUCCACUUGUACCAAUUCUUCCUCAAAGAAUUUACAAGCCCCUUCUUUAUUCUCUGUGCAAUCUGCUAAAACGAUACUUCUUAGGCUUAAAUCAACUUUAUCUUCUGCUUUGUAUAUUACAUCUCUGAUCCUCUUUUCUAUAAACUUAAGAGUUUCAAUAUCCUUUGUGGUAGUAUUGUCAAGGAAAAGUUGCAGAGCAGAAAGAUUUUGAUAGAGAGAUUGAAGAUGUUGUGUAGAGCAUGGACAAACGAAAGAUUGAUUAGGUUUGAAGAGUUGUUCCAAUGUAUACAUAAGUGAAGAAAGAGCGGCAGAAGCCAUUUCUGAAGGAUUUAAUCUCCCUGCUUUAGUAGCUUUGUUUUGUGCAAAUGAUUAACUUUUUUCUAUAAUCUUUUGCACACUGAAGAGGAUAAGAAAUGUGUGCUUUAGAAUGGUCCAUAUAUACCUGACCUUUCAAAAUUUUUUUAAAUUUUUUUUUUAUAUAAAACCAAUCUAUAUCUAUAUCUAUAUUACCUUAGAAGCAUGAAUUCCUAACUUGAAUGUUAAAUUACUAAAAUAUCCUUAACUUAGGUAGUGACUUUUUCGGUGAGUGUUGUGACUUUUAUGAUAAGUUGUGACUUUUUUCAAAGGGUUAUGAUUUUUCCAUGAUUUGUGACUUUUCCAAAGAGAUGUGACUUUUUCAAUAAGUUGUGACUUUUUCAAAGGGUUGUGACUUCUCAGAAAAGUUAUGACUUUUCAGAUAAGACACAAAAAACAUUUGUUCAUACUACCCUUUGUUGACUAUAAAUAGAGGGAUUUCUCUCAUUUUUCAACCACAAUUUUUUUAAUAAUCUAAGCAUGACCAACUUUACUAAUACAUAUAUCUUAUUCGGUACUAUUUUUAUACCGUACCAUGCCAAGCGACUCUUCAUUCUCAUAAUCACAAAAAAGUUAAUUAUUAUCCUUGCCGUUCUUUAUAUUAAUUUCUUCAUAUUAAUGCCUAUUAUUAAAAAAAGGAUAAUGCAUAAGUACUGUUUUAUUUAAAAAGAUAUGUAAAAGGAAAAAUGACCGAGUUUUGAAAAAUCGAUUAAACUUAUAGUUAAAGAGUAAUCAAAUUUUCAAAAGAACAGAGUCGCCACUUAAUUUUUAGUAAAAAAUCAAGAAAAAAUACAAGAUUUUUUCAAAAUGAUUUAAACAGAUAAAAUCAAUUAGAAAAAGGGUUACGAGUUCAAAUGUACAUUCCGAGAAGGUGUUAGGCCCUCGGAAUGUCCGCUAACUCGCGGUUGACCGACGAUCUGACCAAAAUGCUUUUGACUAAUUUUGAAAUUUUAUCUAAGUAAAAGAAUUCAUUUAUUUUAACUAAUUUUAUUGAGAUUUUAACCAAGUAAAAAAAAAACUCAUUUAUUUAAACUAACUUUUUUGAAGUUUUAACUAGGUAAGAGAACUUAUUUACUUUAUAACUAACUUUGAAAUUUUGACUAAAUAAAGGACUUAUUUUUUUAAAAAUUUUAAUUAGGUAAAAGAACUUAUUUAUUUUAACUAAUUUAUUUAUUACUAUUAUUAUUAUUUUUUUAUCAUUUCUAUUUAUCUUAAGGGAAAUGAGACUAAAUGGGGUUUUUCUAAGGAGAAGUAACUUAGCGACGAGACAAAUAAUAGAAUUAAAACUAAGUAUGAAAUCUACAUAUUUUAAUUUAACAUUGGGCCAAAUCUACAUAUAUAUAUAUAUUAUAUAUGUGAAAUGGUGAUCUUUGGGUAUUUAAUUAAAUUGAACCAUAAGAUAAUCAAAGUGUUAGUCAAAUAGAAUAAAAUAAGUAAGAGAGGGAAGGGAAAUAUUCAACUUUGGACCUAUUAUAGCCCAGAAACAUUGGGCCAAAGAUGCUGAUUUUUGGACUUUGAAAUCCAUUCCCGUUUUUUGUAUACACAAGUUGUAUAUCGGUGCAUACAACUCGUAUAUUGGCCCCGUUUCCUGUAUCUCGAGCUGCAUACCGAAUGUAUACAACCCACUUCAACUUUCAACACCUGUAUUUCGAAUUUAUGCCUAGUAUUUCCGCAUUCGACUUGUAUAUCAUUGUAUAUUUGCAUAUAUUUUGCAUAUUCCUCUGUACACAACGUGAUACAGCCUGCUUUUGGACUUCUGGGGGCCUGUUUCAGCUUCUUUUUCAUCGAAAAUAUGAGGAUGACUCGAAACGACUCAAGGAUAUGCAAGAGUGGAGUCCAAAGUGAACUCGGAUUGGUAUCACAUGCAACAAAAAUGAUAGUAAGGAUUAGUGUCCGAAAAAUAAUAGAGCAAUAAUAUAUCAAAAAUAAAUCAUAAACAACACCUAAAUUAAUAUAUGGCAAAUACUCUAUUGGACUAAACAGUGAAAACCUAUAAAAUGAGUACAAAUCCUAAAAAAAAAUACUAAUAACCCGAGUCAUGCUAAUGAUAAAAGAUGGCUACUUUAAGUUACUGUCUUCCAACAAAUUCACAUAAAACUAAAUCCGAACUGAUAUAAACAAAAUGGCUAUUCACUCUAUGCACUGCAUGAUAAGUAUUACAAGUGAUUAGCACUAUAAACCAAAUUAAUCCAAACAUCUUCCAUGUUCCAGGAGUGAACAAAUAGCGGAAUACUAUUCAAACCGAAACAAUACGAAGCACCAAAAAGAAGCUAAGGCAUGAUAGAAAUGAAUUGAUGACUUUGAACUAGUACAAACCAAUCAACUCAGAAGCAAAUAAUGAACAAGAAAAACUUAAACAUUCGAAAUUCAAAGCUAAGAAUCGAAUUAGGAGCAGAACUACGAAGAAAAGUGAUCUUAAAAUGUGAGCUCGGUACUUUGAAUAAACCUGAACAACGAUCCAGCAACUUGAGAAUAGAGACUAGCCACAUCUAUUAUAUGGAAUUAGUAACUCAAAACAAAAGAAGGGAAAUAGUCUAGCUUUUAUCACAUUUACACCACUUUGAUAGAAACAAGAAUGGAUAGUGAAGAAAUCAAACCAACAAGCAACAACUUUUGAGCUAGAAAACGGUUCUAACCACAUUCACUAUCCCCGCACACACGUACUUGGAUCAUACUCUACAAACCAACGACCAAGGUUUCAAAUCACACGAGGAAAUCCCCUAUUCCUAGUGAACUAUCAAAACAAUAUAGUCAACUAAACAAACAAACAAAAUCAAAUUUAAGAGGAACUGUAAGAAGAACGAGGUUGCAUACCUUUUCCAAGGCAGCGAGACUGGAACUCGAAACUUUGAAGCGCUUCCACCACUCUGAGCCGAUUAAGAUGAGUUUCGGAAAGCAAAAGAAUCUCCAAUCUAAAAAUAUCCUCUGUUUCAGAGGAUGAAUCUCUUUCUAUAUUCUCUCAAAUGUAUUUUGUAUGUAUUCUUUAUAUCUAUUUCAUGUUGGAUCCUUUAUGAGAUAUUUUUCUCUAUAUGUGAGUUGCGGUCCCCCCUUAAAAGAUGAGGAGAAGUGAGCUUUUUAUAGGGGAAAAUUAGGGCUGGGAGUCGGGAGGGAUCUUGAGUGAAGUCCCCCAAAAUUUGAAAUUUGAAAUCCUAAAGGAUAAAGAGUAGACGAGCUGGAAUAGUACCAUUCUUCAACGGAUUUGAGAGGAGGAUCGUCCGAUUUAAGGGAAAGGACGAAGAGACAAGAAGAUGGAGACACCUGGAUAAUUCGACAACGGCCCUUGUACGAAAAAGAACAUGCUGCGGGUGAGAGGGGGAUGCGCUGGAUUUGGGUCGGGUUGCUGGGUUCGCGUUCUGGACUGGUUCACGAGUUGCUGGGUUUGUUCGCAGCGAGGAAGACGCUGGGGUCGUCUGGUUUGGACGUUGUAAUGGAUUUGGUGGCUUUCUGGUAUUGUUGGGUUAUUUGGAAUUGGAAGUGGGUUGGGUUGGAGAUGGGAAUUAGAAUUAGAAUGGGAAAUAAGUGGGCUGGAAAUAAUGGAAUGGGCUGCUCAAAAAUUAAAAGAAACGGCCCAAAUGGUCUUGCAAAUGAGUUAAAGUGAGGCUAGAUUUGCAAUGCAAAAAAAUGGCCACAAGAAUUACAAUUAUGGCCAAUGGGAAUUAAGAAGUUAACCAAAUUUAGUUUAAUUUAGAGAAUUUGACUAAAAUUUAAACAAGACGAAUUAAUAUUGAUUAACUAGCGAGCUUCUUAAUUUUAACGAAAUAGAAUAACUUACUUAAUUAUAAACUAAUAACUCAAAAAUAUAAGUAUUAGCUAACUAAACCCAAUUAACCAAAUAUUUAAGUAAAACUAAAACUUUUUUUGAGGCAAUUUUUGAAUAUUCAUAAAAUAUACUAUUUAAAUACAAAAUUAUAUAAAACAUAUAUAUUAUUUAAAAUUAUAAAAGGUGACAAAACUAGAAAUAACUUGCAAAUCAUUUUUUGAAAUUUUAUAAAACUAAUAUUCUGAAUCGUUCGAGAAUUAAGAAGCUCGUGAAUUAAUUCCUAUCGGGGAGUCAAAAUUGGGUGUCAACAAGUACCCCCCUAAACUAUGACCGAAAUCCCAGAGACACACCUAAACUUAACUAAGAUUCUAUUACCCCUGAACUCAUUUUAUUCGUAUUUUUGUGCACCUUUUGUGUUGAUGUGGCACCUUCAACCACCCAAGUUGGUUGUGUUUGUAUACACUCGCCCGCCAUGUGUGUAAAUAUUAUUAUUUUUUAAAAUAAAAAUAUUUAAAUAAUAUUUCUUAAUUAUUUUUUUUAAAAAAAUUUUAAUUGUUUUUUAAAAAAAUAUUCUCAUUUUUUUAUCUUGUAAUUAAAUUAAGUUAAUACACAAUUUUUUACCUUGUUUCGAAAUAUGUUNNNNNNNNNNNNNNNNNNNNNNNNNNNNNNNNNNNNNNNNNNNNNNNNNNNNNNNNNNNNNNNNNNNNNNNNNNNNNNNNNNNNNNNNNNNNNNNNNNNNNNNNNNNNNNNNNNNNNNNNNNNNNNNNNNNNNNNNNNNNNNNNNNNNNNNNNNNNNNNNNNNNNNNNNNNNNNNNNNNNNNNNNNNNNNNNNNNNNNNNNNNNNNNNNNNNNNNNNNNNNNNNNNNNNNNNNNNNNNNNNNNNNNNNNNNNNNNNNNNNNNNNNNNNNNNNNNNNNNNNNNNNNNNNNNNNNNNNNNNNNNNNNNNNNNNNNNNNNNNNNNNNNNNNNNNNNNNNNNNNNNNNNNNNNNNNNNNNNNNNNNNNNNNNNNNNNNNNNNNNNNNNNNNNNNNNNNNNNNNNNNNNNNNNNNNNNNNNNNNNNNNNNNNNNNNNNNNNNNNNNNNNNNNNNNNNNNNNNNNNNNNNNNNNNNNNNNNNNNNNNNNNNNNNNNNNNNNNNNNNNNNNNNNNNNNNNNNNNNNNNGGGGGUAAUAGGACCUUAGUAAAGGUUAGGUGUGUCUCAGGGAUUUUGGACAUAGGCUGGGGGGGGGGUACUUAUGCAUUUUCCCGUUUAAUUAUCAAUAAAUAUGUGUACUGACUAAUUAUAAAGUUUUCAAUUAAAAAAUGACAUGUGUCCAAUUUGUGCACUCAUCACUUGCCUUCAAGAAAGUGUGCACACUCUCUAUGACAUGUCAGCAUUUGUGGGUGUGUUUAUUCCAUUUUAAAUUAGUUACGUUUAGGGAGGUAAUAGAACUCUAGUUAAGUUUAGGUGUGUCUUUGGAAUUUCGGUCAUAGUCUAGGGGGUACUUAUGCAUUUUCCUUUAAAAAAAUAGUCAAAGUGUUUUUGUUCUGUCUGCAUGCUUCAAUUGCACAAAAAUCGUGAGAAGAACUCGUAAGAAUUGUGCCUUGCCAUUCAAUUCUUGACAUUUGACGAGAUAAGUCUAUCACUCUAUAAAUGGAGGAUCAAUAAGUGACUUUACUUCAACAUAUUUAAUCAGAGUGAAAAAAAAAUUACAUUGUCACGCCCUGAGCCUACACCCUGGGCGGGACCGGCACCCGGAGACCAUUUCUGGCCCCAAGCGAACCCUUAGCCUGGCUUUCUUAACUCAACGGAAACCUAACCCAACAGAAUAACUCAAUGCAAUGCAAUAUUACAAAACAACUUAACUUAUAAAAUAUAGCCAUAAAGGCAACUCGAAUUCUCAAAAUAGAAUAUUUACAUAUAUACAUAGAUGAGAGACUUAAAACUAACUGACUGACUGUCUGUCUAUGAAGCCUCUAAAAUACUAAGAUAGAUGUUGGGACAGACCCCGCAACAUCCUAAUAAAACAAAAACUAAGAACACAAAAUAAUUGAGUCCUCCGGAAUGCAAGGAGGCUCACCACUGACUCUGGAGUGCUCAGCUGGAUCAACGACGUGCAGGUUGCUGAUCCGGGGUACCUGUAUCUGCAUCAUAAGACGAUGCAGGCCAACUGGCAUUAGUACAUGGAAUGUACGAAUAUGCGAGCUAGAAAACUAAGCAACAUAGGCUAGAAGGAAAUUUGGAAGAAACUAAAAAGUUUACCUUGCUCAACUUAACUCAACCUGACUGACUUCUUUCAAUCUAAGGCAAAACAAGCGCGAUAUAAAGAAAGAUUGUUUAAAACAUGCUAUAAACUCUGUGUGUAUACAAGGAUACAAUAAACCUGAGAUGUAUAUAGAAAUACAAUUGAACUGAUGUAUAUAAAAUACAAUAAUUUCUGUGUAUAAAAAUACAAUAACUGUUGUGGGAGCUUCUCAAACCGACAACCAUCACAUAAGAGCAAUAGUGAUGAUACAGCGAUCGACCUCACAUUGCCAGAGCAUCUUAUACCCGGUCAAAGGUAUAAGACCUGAACUGCCUAAUGGAUCCACUAGUCUAUCUGGAAAAGGAUUCAUCUAAAAAGUAUGAUCCUUUUCUACCCAUGGUGGCUAACAUGGUUCUAUGGGGGCUGUGGGUUCUUUGAACGCUCCCCCAAUUUGGUGCUCGAUACUACUUCCAAAAAAAUGUACUGGCUCUUAUGAUUUUAAAACAUAUGUCUUCCUGCUGAUAUGAGAUAAUUACUCAAAAACUAGCCCGAAAGGCUCUUUGGAAAUCUCAGUUUCCAACCUUGUUUAAAUGUAAAGACAUUUCUUUAAAACUUCUUUGGGAAUACAUAGUUCCCUAAUAACUUUGAGAAAUGAACUCAACUUUAAACUCUUUACUCAACUUGAAACUAGAGACUCUUUACUUAGCUUGAAAUUCUAAGCUCUUUGCUUGACUUGACACUUGAGUCUAAAAAUGAAGUUAAAACGUUCAAUAAAGACUCUUGAACAACGUUACAACCUGCUUGACUUGCUUAAUCUCUAAGCUUAACUCUUAACUUCUAACUUCACUUGACUUCUAACUAACUUUCCUUGAAUUGGAAUUAUGAAUUCAAGGGUAAUGAUUUGUGUUUGGAAGGACCCCAUGAUGUUUAGGAAUAAUUUAGGACAGCUACGCUUAAGAAGAAUUACGAAAUUAAAUUCUGAAAAUAGAGCAGAUUUUGCUCACAGAGGGAACACAGCCGCGACGCAGACUUGUUUCCUGAAAGCAGCCUGACUUUUCGCCUUCAUGUUGCCAACUCUAACCCUCUUAACUUCAAAGGUUCUUUUCCCAAACACUUGGGGUCAUAAACCCCUCAACAUACAGUGGAUUCCACUCAAAAACACAACCAAAUCCUGUCCCAAAUCAGCAAGAACUUCAACAACCAAAAUAAAUCUUUUCUUGGAAUUAAAAAUGAGUUGGUGUGUGGGGGUAUGAACCAACCAACACUAAGGAUCAUAAAAUCCCUCAACAUACAAAAGAUUCAACUCAAAUACACAACCCAAUCAUGUCCCACAACCAACAAUAACUUCAACAACACAACUAUCAACAUCAACAACAACUAACAACUUCAACAACAAUUUCAAUCUUUUCUCAAAUCAUAAAAAUGAGCUUGGUGUGUGGGGGGGAAAGGAUCACCCAACACUAAGAACUCACAUACCUUGAUAGGGAUCACCCCCGACGAAAAUCCACGAUGAUCUUGAAGAAUCUUUGCUUGAUCUUCCCUUUCUCCUCUUCUUCUCCUCUUCUUCUCUUCUUCUUCUCUUCUUCACUCUCAAGAACCCUAACUCUUUCUCUUUUAAAAUGGGACCAAAAAUGAUCCAAAAUAAGCCUAACACACAAUACAAUCCCAAAACAAAUGGCUAGGGAAAAGACCAAAAUGCCCUUAAAAUUUCCAGACGGACUCCCUGCCAACUGCCCAACUUUCAAAGGGCAUAACUCGCUCAUACAAACUCGGAAUCGAGCAAACUCGGCGGCGUUGGAUAGAUCAUUACACAAGCUUCACAACCAUAACUGGAACUACUCCUAACUCAUCCUGAGCUAGGAGUUAUGACCGCUCAAAGUUGGCCAAAAUCUCACUGAUUUCCACACUUAACCAAUUUCCAGAUUUUUAAAUUUUUCCAAAAAUGACUAUUUCCAAUUUCCAAGCUUUUUCAUAGUUAUUUCAAAUUGCCGGAUGUUACAUACAUCCUCAAACACUUAUAAAUAGUGCACUACAAUUUACAUGGAGGGAUCUUUUCCAAACCCCAUUAGUGCAUCUGUGAAAAGCAUCGAAGCUCUACGAGAUACCUUCAUCACACGACCAACAAGUGGUACCUUCAUUGUCUCCCUAUUCCAUAAAGGUUUCUUAUCCCAGCUGCAAAAAUUGUUUGACAACCACUCAAAAAAUAGGAAUAAACUAUAUGACUAAACAUUAUAUUAUAUAUAUAGAGAAUAUAUUUGGCAAGACGAGAGAGGCUUGCUCAGUUGGUGAAACACCUCCACCUUUAACCAAUUAUAUUGGUCGAGGGUUCAAGUCAUGUUGUAAGCAAAUAUGGGGGAGUACAGCUUAGCAAGGCUCAUUCGUUUUGCCAAAAAGAAACAUUUUUUGCAAAAGUAUGUCAUGUGACGAGUACACAAAACAUUAUAUAAGAGUAUAUUUUGGCAAGACGAGUGAGACUUGCUCAAUUUGUUAGACUCCUCUGCCUUAAGCUUGUUGGUCGAGGGUUCAAGUCACAUUAUACCAAUGAGGGAGAACACAACUUAGCAAGCCUUAUUCCGUUUUACCAAAAAUGAAACAUCUUUUGGCAAAAUUAUGUCAUUCGUCAAGAACACAGAGAUAGCUAAAAGUGGCAUUAACCAACCAUGAAUUUGUGCGACUUUAGGAUUAAGUUUAUCGAACAUGUGAAGUUGCACAGAACAUGAACAUACUUAAAGAAGUACACUAUGGCGAAACAAAGUGUUACUUGCCUCUUACAUUUACACAAACUGAAAAAUAAUGUUAGAAUGUCAUGGCGAGAAUUCUUGAUGUGAAAUAUAUACAUACCAAUCUUCAUGACGAACAACCUUUCCUCCUUCUGUGUACAACUUGAUUAGUGAUAUCAUAUGAAUGUCUUUCCCCAAGAACUUGUAAUAUUGUUUGUUUUCAAUUAAAAUCUGAAGCCAUCAACCUUAAUGUCAGAGUUCUAAAGAAGAGAAUAAACAAAGCGAAAAGAAGAUGCAAUAGGAUGGAUGUAUCUUAAACCUCUUUAUUUCCAGGAGAAAUUUCUUUUUGUAUGACGUUGUACUCCACGAUUCUCGACUCACUGAACACCUGAAAUGUACAAAAAGAAACAGUUUGACAUUAUCCAUACACAACAAUCCCAAGCCUAAAGGAAGACAUAAUAUAGUAAUAAAUUGAUUAACUUUAAGAAGAAAGGAUUGGCUAAGAACUUUUGACGUAAACCAUAGUAGUUACACUAGUCUCUCAACAUACAACAGAGAUUAUGCUGGGAACCUUUGAUAUUUUUGUGAUGUAUUCUUUUCAAGAAAUGAGUUAUGAUAUCCAUAUUUUAGAAGCAAAACUGAUUUUAAAACUGUAUCGCGCAAUGCGAUUUUCCAAAAGGUUCUUUCCUAUAUCUUUUUUUGUUCUUUCCACAAUAAAGUGUAUCAAUCUAGCAUAGUAGGAUACUAGUAUGAAAUAGGACACUUAGCAAGAAGUAAAUUAUUUAGACCUUCCCAAGCGAAUGUAAUGACAAUUUAACCUGCUUUACCCUGCAAUCCACAGUAAAAUUCAUAGUCAGGAUUACAAAAGGAACAAACUAAUUACUAGACGCUUGAAAGGAUAGACAAGUUUAGCAUACCCCUCUGCAUGCAUAAGGGGAUCUUCAAAUGUUGCAUUUGGAGCAUAAAUCUCAAAAUCUUGUGCCUUGGCUCGCGAUGAAUAUCUGAAAUUUAUUUGCAGAAAGCUUGUCAUGAUCAUAAUUACUAUAAAAAAAAAAGAUUAAUUAACUAAUAAGUUAUUGAUUAACAGAUAUCACUAAUAGGGAUGGCAAUGUGGCAGGGCGAUUUUAAGGCUAUGCGGGGUGGGGCAGUUGGGAUGUGGGGCGAGUUGAAGUGAGUUUUUUAAAAACUAAUGCGGGGCGGAGCGGGUGGCGGGUUCAAACUUAAUUUUAACUUUUUACCUGUUAUAAGAGUGAUAAAACAUUAUUUAUUAAGAUAAUUUCUUAAAAGUUACUAAAUUAUUCAAGAUAGUACAUGAAAAUGGUUCAAUAAAAACUACUUAUACAGUUUUUUACAUGCUUCCCAAUUAACCUUUAAAAAAUAAAAUUCUAAGUUAUUGUUUAUUUAAUUAAUACAACUUAAUGCGAAAAUUGUCACGCCCCGAGCCUACACCCUGGGCGGGACCGGCACCCGGAGACCAUUUCUGGCCCCAAGCGAACCCUUGGCCUGGCUUUCUUAACUCAGCGGAAACCUAACCCAAGAGAAUAACUCAAUGCAAUGCAAUGUUACAAAACAACUUAACUUAUAAAAUAUGGCCAUAAAGGCAACUCGAAUCUCAAAAUAGAAUAUUUACAUAUACAUACAUAUACAUGGAUGAGAGACUCAAAACUAACUGACUGACUGUCUAUGAAGCCUCUAAAAUACUAAGAUGGAUGUUGGGACAGACCCCGCAACACCCUAAUAAAACAAAACUAAGAACAUAAAAUAAUUGAGUCCUCCGGAAUGCAAGGAGGCUCACCGCAGACUCUGGAGUGCUCAGCUGGAUCAACGACGUGCAGGAUGCUGAUCCGGGGUACCUGUAUCUGCAUCAUAAGACGAUGCAGGCCAACUGGCAUCAGUACAUGGAAUGUACGAGUAUGCGAGCUGGAAAACUAAGCAACAAAGGCNNNNNNNNNNNNNNNNNNNNNNNNNNNNNNNNNNNNNNNNNNNNNNNNNNNNNNNNNNNNNNNNNNNNNNNNNNNNNNNNNNNNNNNNNNNNNNNNNNNNNNNNNNNNNNNNNNNNNNNNNNNNNNNNNNNNNNNNNNNNNNNNNNNNNNNNNNNNNNNNNNNNNNNNNNNNNNNNNNNNNNNNNNNNNNNNNNNNNNNNNNNNNNNNNNNNNNNNNNNNNNNNNNNNNNNNNNNNNNNNNNNNNNNNNNNNNNNNNNNNNNNNNNNNNNNNNNNNNNNNNNNNNNNNNNNNNNNNNNNNNNNNNNNNNNNNNNNNNNNNNNNNNNNNNNNNNNNNNNNNNNNNNNNNNNNNNNNNNNNNNNNNNNNNNNNNNNNNNNNNNNNNNNNNNNNNNNNNNNNNNNNNNNNNNNNNNNNNNNNNNNNNNNNNNNNNNNNNNNNNNNNCUUUCCAGCUGAUAUGAGAUAAUUACUCAAAAACUAGCCCGAAGGCUCUUUUGGAAAUCUCAGUUUCCAACCCUGUUUAAAUGUAAAAACAUUUCUUUAAAACUUCUUUGGGAAUACAUAGUUCCCUAAUAACCUUGAGAAAUGAACUCAACUUUAUGCUCUUGACUUAACUGAAAACUCGAUACUCUUUACUCGACUUGAAACCGUAUACUUAACUUGGAACUGGAGCCUUAGAAUGGAGUUAAAACAUUCAAUAAAGACUCUUGAAUAACUUACUUGAACUUGCUCUUAAACCUUGCUUGACUUGACUCUAACUUCCCUUAACUUUGGUCCUAACUCGCCUUGAAUUGGAUUAUGGAUUCAAGACAUAUAAUCGCAUGUUUAUAGAUGAGUUUGGGAGGUAUAAAUGCAACUUGAAGUGUAGGAAACAACUUGGAAACAUAGGUAUAAUACCUAGGAACAUGUAUGAGAAAGCAUGGAAAGAAUGAGGGAACAUGGCGUCCUUGGCGCUCUGCAAGGCGCAGAGCGCCAGCCCUUGAAGGUCAGAAGUCACCUGCUGGCGCGCCGCCCCAAGGGCUGGACUUCAGAGUCCCCUUUGGGGCGCGUUGGCAGGCGCGACGCGCCAGCCCCUUCCCCAGAAAACCCAACUUUUCUCCCUCUUUUCUUCAACUCUAAACCACCCUAACUUCAAAGGUUCCAAUCCCAACCAUUAGGGAUCACAAAAUCCCUCAAUAUACAAUAGAUUUCAACUCAAGAACACAACCAAAUCAUGUCCCACAACCAACAAGAACUUCAACAACACAAUCAACAACAUCAACAACAACUAACAACUUCAACAACAUAUCCAAUCCUUUCUCAAAUCAUAAAAUGAGCUUGUUGUGUGGGGGAAAGGAUCAACCCACACAAAGAACUCACAUACCUUGAUAGGGAUCACCCCCGACGAUUUCCACAACGGAACCUUGACGGAACUAGUUGAUCUCCUCUUUCUUCUCUUCUUCUUCCCCUUCUUCUCUUCUUCUUCUCAAGCCCUAGCUUUUACUCUUUUAAAAUGGGACAAAAUGAUCCAAAGAUCAGCCCUAUACAACAAUAUAAUACCCAAAGAAAUGGCUAGAGAAAGACCAAAAUAGCCUAAAUUCGACGGAUUCCCUGCCAACUGCCCAACUUUCAAUGGCCAUAACUCGCUCAUACAAACUCGGAAUCGAGCAAACUCGGUGGCGUUGGAAAGAUCAUUCCACAAGCUUCACAACCAUAACUGGAACUACUCCUAACUCAUCCUGAUCUAGGAGUUACGACUGCUCAAAGUUGGCCAAAAACUCACUGAUUUUCACACUUGGCCAAAUUUCCAGAUUUUAAUUUAUUUUUUUUUCAUAGUUAUUUCAAAUUGCGGAUGUUACAAAAAUGAAUUUAUUUUUAUGAAUUUUCUUUUUAGUAUCAAAAUUAAUUAAAAACGGCAAAUAUUCAAAAAUUUAUGUGGGGCGGGGUAGGGUGAGUUGAAAAUGAAAAAAAGUUGUUAUGCACGGCGGGUUAAAAUAAUUGCGCGUUAAGCUCAACCCUCCCCGUCUCAUUGCCAUCUCUAAUCAAUAAAACAAUAACUCCGUUUCAAACAAGUUGGAGAUAAAUAUGGAAGUAAACAAUAUUUUCCUCCACACUUUAUAUGCUAGUCUUAUUUUCUGAGUGCGUGAAAAUUCUGACUCUGCCAUGCAUGUGACUAAUUGCUACAAUAUACAUGGUAGUAGAUUUAAAAACAUAGUAAGAGAAAGAAAAUUAAAAGAAUAACAUAAAACAUUUAAUUGGGAGUGAAACUCACAAAUUGAGAAGAUGUGGAAGUAUAUAAUGAGAAGCUGUAUAAUCAUCACCAGCUUCGUUCAAGUACCCUUCUCUUUCUUCAUCCUUCAUUCCUAAUACACAAUUCCCAAAAAUAAUUGAGAGAUACACCACAAAUUAACAAAAUUAAACUUUUUUAACAAAAUGUUCCAAGUUUACAAGUCUUUUUUAGCAGGUGAAAACAAAAUAGGAAGAAGAUAAUAAUGAAAGAUGGAAAUGAAGAUACCUUUGGAGUAAUUCGAACUUGAAGCUCAUAAUUUCCCAAGCUCUCUUGCUCUUGUUGAAUUCUCUUAGCACUAUUAUCUACAGAAGAGCUGCAAUUAUCUACUUGGAUCAAUUUUAGUGUCAUUAUAUCUCCAAUACUCUCCGGAAUCUCCUCCAGUGUAUCGAACCCAUAAAGUAUUAGUUGCUCAAGCAUAGGAAAAUUAUCACUACCAGUUGCUUCCCACCUUUCCAGAUCUGCUUCACCAAUUUGUAGAUAUUUUAAUUUGCGAAACACAACAUCUUCAUCUACUUUCCAAUCUGUUCCAGAAAAUGCAUACUCCCCGCUGAUCACCUCAAGAUUAGGUAAAUUAGCCAGCAAAUUCACAACUUCCCAUGGUAUAUAAGUACCUAAUAAUAUCAAUUUCUUGAUAUUAGGACUUAAUUUCUUGAUUUUACAAGACAAAAUAUCUCCAGAGAAAAUGUUCAGGUCAAUGCUCUCCAGCUUUAUGAGUAGCGUCUCCAGCUCCUCUAGAAGAAUUAGAGAAUCAAGAAUUUCAGACCAGUCAGGAUUCUCAGAUUCAUCUAUGAACUUUAGCUUUUUUAGAUUGGGAGUUCUUUUUAUGAUUUCCACAAUAAAAUGAGAGUUAUAGAGAUAAAGAUUUUGCAAGUUAUUCAGAAACAAGGGAUUUUCUGCCUCAAGAGGAUUAGAUAUAUAUAGUGGAGAAUCAAUAUCCACAUGUCUUAGCUCUGACAUUCUCCAGAUAUCUACUGGCUCCUCCAACUUUGUUGAUCUGUUGACACCAAUAUUUUCUUGAAGAAUUAUGAUCUGUAGAUUUCUCAAUUUGUCUAGUGAAAGAGCUUUAUCAAUUCUUGCAGCAACAUAUCUCAAAUGUACAAGUUCAGGUAUUACACAAGAGAAAUCGUACCAGAGUGAUAAUACAUCCAACACCUUAAGCAACUUGAACUUUGAAACAAUGGAACAAAUCCUUUCUGGAAAAUCGUAGUAAUAAAAAUAUUCCAUUGAAAUAAAGGUACGAGUUAUACCACUACAAUGCAUUGGAGGAUAAACUUGCUUCUCUUGAAGUUCAGACAGAAUGAUCACUCGUCGUUGAUCAUCUAUGGAUUCUGAGGGCAUGGGAACAUUCCCAUUCAUGAUAUACACAACAUUUUCAGUAUGAGUUUCACUUAGGCAUAGUUGGCGAAGAAGAUCAUGAAUUUUGCAAGUUUUCAUCCUUCCAUUAGCCGUUAAUCUAUCAAUCAAAAUUAGACUUCUAUCAAUUAGCUCUUGUAGAUAUUCCUCUGCCACAACUUCUAACCUUUUAUUGUUUCUUGCCUUUACGAAUUGCUCAGCAAUCCAGAGCCUAAUCAACUUGGAAACAUUAAUCUCUCUGUCUUCUGGAAAACCUCCAACAUAGAGAAAACAAGCCUUUAAAUAUUGGGGCAAGUAAUUGUAGCUCAGAGAAAGAAUUGAUUGGCACCGUUCGGACACCGUACCAAAGAAUGAGUUCAGAUUUUCCUCAACCUUCUCCCAAUUAUCAUGUGUUGGGUCCAUUUUUCCAAGAAGUCCAGCAACGACAACAACCGAGAGAGGUAACCCUUGACAUUGUUGUACAAUAUGCUUCCCUGUUUCUUCUAGCAGAGGAGGACAUGGAUCUUUUUUGAAUAUUUUCUCAGUGAAUAGAUUCCAACUAUCUUCUAGACUUAGAAAAGACUUACUAUGAGGCGGAAAAUCAGGGCAGUUGACAUAAUCAGCAACAUACUUGAGCCGAGUAGUUAAUAGAAUUCGGCUUUUAUUGUUAUCAUUUGGAAAUAUUCUUUGCAUUUGGUCCCAUGCCUCAGUACUCCAAAUAUCAUCUAUGACAAUUAGGAAUCUUCUACCCUUCAAACCUUUAUACACAAUCUCCAUUAGUUCAUCAUUGCUCAUUUCUUGAUUGCUUCCUGUAAUUGAAGAGGCAACUUCAAGAAGCAUUUGUCUCUGAUUGUAUUCUUCGGAGAUAGUGACCCAUGCAUGUAUAUCAAAUCGAGAACGAAUAGAUGAAUCAUCAUAAACUUUUCUGGCAAGAGUUGUCUUACCUAUACCGCCCAUACCAAAAAUUGGUAUGACAAUUAACUCAUCUGUUAGAAGCAUUUGUCUCUGAUUGUAUUCUUCGGAGAUAGUGACCCAUGCAUGUAUAUCAAAUCGAGAACGAAUAGAUGAAUCAUCAUAAACUUUUCUGGCAAGAGUUGUCUUACCUAUACCGCCCAUACCAAAAAUUGGUAUAACAAUUAACUCAUCUGUUUGGGCAGUGAGGCGAUCAAGUAUGGUGUUGAAGUCAUCUUCCAUCCCAACAGUAGUAUUUUCCUCAUGAAUUGUAACUUUUUUUGGUGAGAAGGAAGUUGUUGCUAAUUCUGUAGAUUUGCUUCCAUGCUUAUUAAACUCAACCACCAUCACCUCCUUCCUGAGAGAGUCAACAUCUUUUUCCACUUUUAGCAAUUCUUCCUUGAAGAAUUUACAAGCCCCUUCUCUACUCUCUGUGCAAUCAGUUAAAAUGAUGCUUCUUAGGCUUGAAUCAACUUUAUCUUCUGCUUUGUAUACUACAUUUUUUAUCCUCUUUUCUACAAGCUUGGAAUUGAAACUCGAUAAAUUAAUUACUAUUUAAAAAAUAUAUAUAAGAUCAGUAAGAUUUAGAUGAGUAUACUAGUGAAUUACAUACCUUAAGAGUUACAAUAUCCUUUGUGAUAGUUUUGUCAAGGAAAAGUUGCAGAGCAGAAAGAUUUUGAUAGAUAGAUUGAACUUGUUGUUGUGUAUAGCUUGGACAAACGAAAUAUUGAUUAGGUUUGAAGAGUUGUUCCAAUGUAUACAUAAGUGAAGAAAGAGCAGCAUAAGCCAUUUCUCUUUGUUUGCUGGAAUAACUAAAAGAUAAAGAGGCUUUGCAGAUUUAAACUCUACGCUAUGUUAUUCUUUUUUCUUAGGCUAAGAGAUUUUGUCCACAUAAUUUACUUUUCUUUAUCACACCACCUUUUUCUAAAUGGGGACAAAGACAUAGGAUACUCACCCUUUAAAAAAGUCAUAGUAUAAAUAUUUGUAAAUGAUUUAAAUAUAAUUACAAUAUGUAUAAAUAGUAAUUCAUAAAAUUAAGUAAUCAAAAGGGAAGGAGUGUAACACCAAAUUAUAGCUUAACAUCAAAUGGACAAUCUAACAAUCAUAGCAAAUAGUUUUAAGAAAUUGUAUCAUUUUGAUACGUAGAUUUCACAUGAGUUAUUAGUUGUGCAGAUGUCAUAUAAUGUUUGAAGAGAAUAUAUGAAAAUUUAUCAAUAUCCAUUACAUUAUUAUAGCAUCACAAUAAAUUAUACAAUUUCAGAUGUACAUUAUGUUCAUCCCACAAAUAUUCGAAAAUAAGAUGAAAUAGAGUAGACUAAAAACAAUAAAAUAGCUAAUGAAUUCUAAAACUUUUAAAUAACAAAAAUUAAAGAGAGAAACAAUUCCAGUUUAAAAGAAUGGAGGAACUUCCUCAAUAACUAACAAAAACAUAAACGAAUUUACCUCUUUUUUUUGCAUAUGUGAUGAGCAAUAACAUCCGUCAGCAAUCAUCCAUCAACAAUUAUACAUUAGAAUAACUAAGUGUAUGCAUUAACAUAAAGUGAAUGUGAUGAGCAAUAUAAUUACAUCCACCAAUAAUCAUCCAUCAACAAUUAUACAUCGGAAUAACAAAGUGUAUGCAUUAAUAUAAAGUGAUUUUGAAAACAACUUUUUGGUAUAUAUAAUUAUAAGUCAGGAAUUAUAAAAGUCAUUUAAAAAUUGAUGAUAUACAUAACAUCUAUGAGAAUUAGAUUGGUUAAAGUUGGGAUAUGUAAAGUUUCUGACUAAAAUCUAAAUAUGUGUGCCAUAUUAAGAUGUCGAGUAAUUCAAAGGACAUUUUGUUGUUUAAUGUUUAAGGAUAUUUUAGUUUUUAAAGGAUAUAAUUUACUGCUUUUUGUUGUUACGAAAUACUUCAUCUGCCAAACUCCAUUUUAGAAUUUUUGUGAAUUAAUUCUAUCUAGAAAUAUAAUGGAUUAAUACCACAUAAUUAUUAUUUAAUAUUAUAUUAAUUAUUUUAGGAAUAAUUUCAGAGACCUCCCCUCAGGUUUGGCUUCAUAACACUCACCUCACUUGUGAUUUACAAUAUUACACUUGCCUCCCUUUAUUUGAGUUUUUGGUAACAAUUCAUUUAACUUAUUAAUUAUUAAUUAUUAAUGUAAAAAAAUUAUGAUACGACUAAUUUACCCUUUUUAAUAUAUCCUAUUUUGUAAAAAAAGCUUUUUUCAAAAAAAAUUGUUAUUAAAUAAAAAAAUUCAUCUUUCAUUAAGAAUAUUUUUCAUCUUCCAAAAAUAAAAAUAAAAAAUUCAUCUUCCAUUAAUCCAUUCUGCUUAACUUGUUUUAGAGUUGAUGUCACCGAUUUGUUUGUCUAAUUUUACUGAAAAUGAAGAAUCAAAUGUUGAAACUUUAAAAAUGGAGUAUCUCAAUUUUCAUAUCGACUGGAAUGCAAACAAAUUAACAUACAUUUUGUUCUAAUUUUGAUCAUUUUCUUUUCCUGUUCAGUAAUUAAGUCAUAUUAGAAUAUUAUAUUUUUAUUGACACUAUUCUAAGUGUUUUACCGUCAAUUGCAUAAAUUAUAAAUUCAUUUAAACAAAAUGGUUUCAAUGGAAGAUGAAAAUAAAUCGAUUAUCAACGAAUUAAAAAAAAAAGAAUUUUGAAGAGGGCAAAUUAGUCAGAUUAUAAUUUUUAUAUUAAUAAUUAAUAAGUGAAAUGAAUUGUUACCAAAAACUCAAAAUAAGGGAGGUAAGUGUAACAUCGUAAACCACAAAGGAGGUGAAUGUUAUUGAGUCAAACCAGAGGGGAGGUCUUUGAAAUUAUCCCAUUAUUUUAUUAAUACUAAUAUUUAAAUUUAGUGAAGGGGUAAAACCGUAAUUCAACUUUGAAGUUAAGAUCUUCCCACUUAUAAUAAUACUAGUUCCUGGGAACGCGCGUUGCACGUUUGUCCCAUAUAUACAAUUAUUAUAAAGUUGAAUUAUUAUAUAGAAAAUGUUGAAACUAAAAACAUUAGUUUUACCAAUUUAUAUUUUAUUCAUUAAAUAAAAUUCCUAAUAAUCGAAUAGUACAUUGACCAUCAAGCAAGAAAUAUGGAAAACUAAUUAAGAUACUAUAGCCUCUAAUAAUAUGAAUAUAUCUAUAUGACUUAUCCCCAAUAAUCUCUCAUUACGCUCUCAUAUCAGUAAGUAAACAAAUAUGUUGCUACUUAAAGAAACCAUAUCAGUAAGGAAAGGAUAAAAGAAAGAAAAUAUUAUAAAAGUACAUUUAAAUCUACCUUAAUAAUUAAUGAUCCAAGUGCUUCACUACUUUAACUGUACAUAAAAUGGAUAACCUUUGGUAGGGAUUCUUCUCAUGAAAUAAAAAGAAUGAUUUAUAUAGAUAAAAGUAGAGGAAUAUCAAAGACAUCCUAAAGUUUUAAAUGAAAUAUUUAAAAGUUAGGAAUAUUAAGAGUACCAAUUGAAUAGGUAAUUAUAUUAGUUAUGAAUUAUGAAGGUGGAUAUUUAAAGCAAAAGAAGAAGAAGAAAAAUAAUAAAUAAGUAAAUAAAAGAGAGAAAAACAUUACGGCAAAUGAUAUUUAAAUAAAUAGUGUUAUCAUAUUAUUUAUAGUGAACAAAAACUAACCACAUCAUAAUAAUAAGACUUCAAAUAUAAUUCUUUGAUUUUUCCUAUACAUGAAAGUAUUAAUUACUUUUAUGAACUGCAUAAAAUACAAAAUGCACAUAAAUUUUCAUAAAGUCAAAUACUACCACAUUAAUUAAGUUAUUUAAAUUAUUUUAGAGAAGGGGAAAAGGUUUAGUUAGAGUAUCAUAUACAAGUUUUCACGUACUAAAUAAAUGCACAUACUUUUAUGGAUAUUUUAAUCUUUUAAUUUUUUUUAUUUUACACAUUUUCACUUGUAGUAUUUAUCAUCAUAAUACUAAUAUAGUAAUGUGAUUAUUAUUUAAUAUUUAAUUAGUUAAAUAUUUUGAAUUAAGAUAGGGGUAAUUAAAUGAUGAUUCAACUUUAGACUUAUUCUUUAUAUAUAUAUAUAAUGAAUGGUACAUAGCAAAUAAAUUUUAAAAUAAUUGAAAAUCCAAAAAGAGCAAGAAAAAGUUAAAUGAUUCUCUUGACCACAUAGUUAUGCCCGUCACUUGGACUUCCUGAAUACUAUUAAUUUACAGUUUAUAUUUAUUACCGAAAAUUUUACAAAUCUAAAAUACUAAAAAGAAAUUCUAAAGGUUGAAUAAUUGUGGAAUAUGAAAGUAAUUCCACCACAUUGAAUUGAAUGAACUAAUGAGUGAGAAUGUAUCUGUUUUCUUGUUUCAUUUUAAUGAAAUAUAUUAUUAAUAGAUAGGUAAAUUUACUUUUUAAUACCAAUAAUUAAAGGAUUAGUGUUUAAUUAAAUACUUAAAUGACUAUUCAACCUAUAAAGGAUAAUUUGAUAAUUCAACUUUUAACUUUUUUUUGUUCCCACUUUUAGUAUAUAUAUAUACUCCAUACAGUUAAUGUGACAAUAACCUGAAAAUAAAUUUAGCUUAUCAAUUAAAAAUUAAAAUGACAUAGAAAAAGAGAAGUAAACACAAGAAUGAGAAAAAUAUGACAAAAUAAGAGUAUAAUAAUUGUUCCACAAAAAUUCUGAUAUUUAUAAACAGUUGGAAAAAAAAAGCCAUCUAAAAUGGUAAAGAUAAAUCUAUGAUACAAAAUAUCGUUCUAAUUAGGAUCAAAACAAAUAUUAAUAUUUCAAAAUUAAAAGAAAGUACCUGAAAAUUGCCUAAUGAUUCGCAUCAACAGGAGGCAAUUGGUAAAGAAAAAUUACUUUUCCAUGAUAUAUAUAUAUAGCUAAAGAUUUAUAGGAUAAGAUGAAAAGGUGAAGAGUUGUUUAGUUAAUUUUCAGAAGUUAGUGAUCUUAGACAUGGGGGAGAGGAAAGGUUGAUUGUUUUUACUAAUAAUUCAAUACAUUUAAUUACACUAAUUAUAGAGAAAGGAUAAGAAAUUUAAUUCAUUUAACCACACUAAUUAUAGAAAAAGAAUAAAGGAUAAAAGCUUUAAUUAUCUUUUCUUUUUUUUAUAAAAACGCUUUAUCUAAUCAACAAAUUUAAUCCAUUUAAACAUAACCUUUUUUAAAAGAAUUAGAUAAAAGCGUUUUUAUAUAUAUAAAAAAUAAGCAAUUCCUAACAACUUUCUAUGAAAUAAUUUCUAACAAUUUUCUAUGAAAUAUUUUUGUCUUUCAAAGUUUGACUUUACACCUUCUUAUUUUUAGUAUUUAGUAUAAUAUAAUAUAAUUAUUACUUAGUAUUUAAAUAAUUAGAUAUUUAAUGAUAUUUUAAUUUAGUGUGAGGGUAAUAUGGUAAUUCAACUUUGUAUAGUGGAGCUUCCCACUUAUAAUAAUAUAUGAUAUGAUGAUUAAGAAAUCUUUCAAAAUAUCAAAUAAACCAAUAAGGAUUCUUAUUAACAUUUCAAAAAAGUUUUAAAAACCACACUUAUCCUUUUGGACUACUGUUGCUUUGUUUUUGGGCUCUGACCCAUUCCGGUUGUUUUUGCCAUUGGACUCUUUCCAUCUUCUGCAGAAGUUGUAUUUUCAUUAUAUUUGUUGAUCUUUGUCGUAUAAGAUUGUUUCUUUUUCAACUUCUUGGAUGUAAGGUUUAUCAAGAGAGUAUUCUCGGAUUUGGUGAAGAAAUGCCCAAAAAUAGUCCGAUUCAUAUUCGUCAAGUUUGGAAUGACAAUCUCUGAUGAAAAUGGGAAUUUACCCAAGUGUGUAACUGAUAAAUAUUGCAUAUGACAAUUCGAUUCAGUUAUUUCAAAUCUGAACGAUCAUGUUUAUGCUAACGACUCAAUUGUGUAGGAUUGCAACCACCCAUCUCCACUAACUUCUCAAGAGCAACGUUUCAGAUUACAACUCCGCAAUCUUAGGAGUUGAAGUUUAGGGUACAGAGAGAUGACAAAAAAUAAUAGCCAAGAAUGACAAAGGCUUGUGUGAAUAGCAAGGGCAUCAACGUGUACAUGACUCAAUUAUAUUUACAAUAAUAUCCUUGACAUAAGGACUAACUCUAGUAUCUCAACUUCACAGUUCACUCAAACUGUUCUAACUACUCUCCAACAAGUCAAACUCGCUUCUUGUUACAAACCUCACCCACACAAUUACACUCUUUAAUUUAGAAAUUAUUACAACUCAAUAAUAACCCUAGAACAACUCAAUAAAGAUAUAUUAAAGCUGCAGCUAGGUAAAAACUAAUUGAAAAACUCAAAGCCAGUGCACUGCACUUUGCAUGGAGGGAUCUUUUCCAAACUCCAUUAGAGCUGUUAAAAGCAUCGAAGCUCUACAAGAUACCUCAGUCACGCGCCCAACAAGUGGUACCUUCACUGUCUCCCUAUUCUGUAAAGGUUUAUAAUCCCAGCUGCAAACAUUGUUCGCAAAACAUUCAAAAACAGGAAUAAACUAUACAAUCAAACACUAUAUUAUGUAUAUAUUAGAAUUAAGAAUUGACUAAGAAUCAAAGAUGGAAAUGAACAUACCAUAGGAGUAAUUUGAACUUGAAGCUCAUAAUUUCCAAAGCUUUGUUGCUCUUUUCGAAUUCUCUUUGCACUAUUCUCUACAGCAGAGCUGCAAUCAACUAUUUGGAUCAAUUUUAGUGUCAUUAUAUCUCCAAUACUCUCGGGAAUCUCCUCCAGUUCAAACAACCAAUUCAGUAUUAGUUUCUCAAGCAUAGGAAAAUUAUCACUACCAGCUGCUUCCCACCUUUGCAGAUCUUUGGACCUAAUUAGUAGAUGUUUUAAUUUGCGAAACACAACAUCUUCAUUAAGUGUCCAAUCUGUUCCAGAAAAUGCAUAAUACCCCUUUAGCACCUCAAGAUUGGGUAAAUUAGACAGCAAAUUCAUAACUUCCCAUGGUAUUUUAGUAUUUGAUAAUGUCAACUUCUUGAGAUUAGGAGGGAAAACAUCCCCAGAGAAAAUCAACGGGUCAAUGGAGUUCACCUCUAUCUUUAGUGUCUCCAGCUCCUCUAGAAGAAUUAGAGAAUCAGGAAUAGAAGGAUAGUCAGAAAUUUCGCACAUCUUUAGCUUUUUUAGAUUGGGAGUUCUUCUUAUGAUUUCCUUAGAAAAAGGAGAGAACUGGAGAGUAAGUGUGUGCAAGUUAUUGAGAAACAAAGGUUGUUCUCCAACACUAUUAUUUUCUCCCUCAAGAGGAUUUGAAAUGUAUAGUGGCCAUUCAAUAUCCAAAUGUCUUAUCUCUGUCAUUCUCCAGAUAUCUAAUGGGUGGACCAACUCUGUCUGUUCAAAACCUACAAAAAUUAUGAUCUGUAGAUUUCUCGAUUUGGCUAGUGAAAGACCUCCCUCAAUUCUUGCAGCAACAUAUCUCAAAUGUACAAGCUCAGGUAUUACACUAGAGAAAUCGUACCAAACUGAUAAUACGUCCAACACCUUAAGCAACUUGAACUGUGAAACAAUAGAGCAAAUCACAUCUGGAGAAUCUAAAUCAAGAGAUUGCAUUGAAAUAAAGGUACGAGUUAUACUUGUUAUAUCAUUGAUAUAAACUUGCUUCUCUUCAUGUUUACGCAGAUCAAUCACUCGCCGCUGAUCAUGUAUGACUUCUAAUAAGGACACGAGAACAUUCCCAUUCAUGUAAUACACAAUAUUUUCAGUAUGAACUUCACUUAGGCAUAGUUGGCGAAAAAGAUCGUGAAUUUUGCAAGUUUCUAUCCUUCCAUUAGCCCUUUGUUUACCAGUCAAAAUUAGACUUCUAUCAAUUAACUCUUCUAGAUACUCCUCUGCCACUACUUCUAACCUUUUAUUGUUUCUUGCCUUUACAAAUUGCUCAGCAAUCCAUAGCCUAAUCAACUUGGAAACAUUAAUCUCUCUGUCUUCUGGAAAACCUCCAACAUAGAGAAAACAGGCCUUUAAAUAUUGGGGCAAGUAAUUGUAGCUCAGAGAAAGAAUUGAUUGGCACCGUUCGGACACCGUACCAAAGAAUGAGUUCAGAUUUUCCUCAACCUUCUUCCAAUUAUCAUGUGUUGGGUCCAUUUUUCCAAGAAGUCCAGCAACGACAACAACCGAGAGAGGUAACCCUUGACAUUGUUGUACAAUAUGCUUCCCUGUUUCUUCUAGCAGAGGAGGACAUGGAUCUUUUUUGAAUAUUUUCUCAGUGAAUAGAUUCCAACUAUCCUCUAGACUUAGAAAAGACUUACUAUGAGGCGGAAAAUCAGGGCAGUUGACAUUAAUCAGCAACAUACUUGAGCCGAGUUAGUUAAUUAGAAUUCGGCUUUUAUUGUCAUCAUUUGGAAAUAUUCUUUGCAUUUGGUCCCAUGCCUCAGUACUCCAAAUAUCAUCUAUGACAAUUAGAAAUCUCCUUCCCUUCAGACCUCUAUACACAAUCUCCAUUAGUUGAUCAUCGCUCAUUUCUUGAUUGCUUCCGGUAAUUGCAUAGGCAACUUCAAGAAGCAUUUGUCUCUGAUUGAAUUUUUCGGAGAUGGUGACCCAUGCAUAUUUAUCAAAUCGAGAACGAAUAUAUGAAUCAUUAUAAGCUUUUCUAGCAAGAGUUGUCUUACCGAUACCGCCCAUACCAAAAAUUGGUAUAACAGUUAACUCGUCUAUUUGGGAAGUGAGGCGAUCAAGUAUGAUGUUGAAGUCAUCCUCCAUCCCAACAAUAGUAUUUUCCUCAAUUGUCCUUUUUUCUGGUGAGGAGGGAGUUGUUGCUAAUUCUGCAGAUUUGCUUCCCUGCUCGUUAGACUCGAUCUGCACCACCUCUUUCCUGAGAGAAUCAACAUCUUUUUCCACUUUUACCAAUUCUUCCUCAAAGAAUUUACAAGUCUCUUCUCUCAUCUCUGUGAGAUCUGCUAGCAGAGUGAUGAUAUAUCUUAGGCUUGAAUCAACUUUCUCUUCUGCUUCGUAUACUACAUUUCUGAUCCUCUUUUCUACAACCUUGAAAUUGAAACUCGAUAAAUAAGUUAUUGUUAAAAAAUAUAUAUAUAAGAUCAGUAAGAUUUUGAUAACUAUAUAUACUAGUGAAUUAAUUACAUACCUUAAGAGUUUCAAUAUCCUUUGUGGUAGUAUUGUCAAGGAAAAGUUGCAGAGCAGAAAGAUUUUGAUAGAGAGAUUGAACAUGUUGUUGUGUAUAGCUUGGACAAACGAAAUAUUGAUUAGGUUUGAAGAGUUGUUCCAAUGUAUACAUAAGUGAAGAAAGAGCAGCAUAAGCCAUUUCUCUAAAAGAUAAGAGCCUCGCAGAUUUAAUGUCUCUGCCUGAGAUAAUUUACAUGAAUUUGGACAAUUUUCUAUUUAACAUCUACAUCACAACCACACAACUUGUGGUUCAUGGAUGCAAAACUGUGGAUUGACUAAGUCAAAGUGAGAUAAAAAAAAAAUGAAAGAUAAAGACAUAAUAACAUGUCAAGUUGUAUUAAUAUAAUAUACUUCUAAUGAAAAAUAAAGGAUCUCUUGGAGUUUUCCUAAAGAAUUUUCAAACAUCAGUCGUUCAGAUUUCUGAUUCAUAUACAUUGGAUUCCAACUUGUCAGAGACAUUGAACCCUGUUGUAAAAUAGAAUAAUUUACAUUGAAUAAUGAAGACAUCAUGUGUCAAGUUGGACGAAUAUAAUAAACUCUCAGUACAAAUUUUCCUUGAAAUUUAUAGGCAUAAUACAUAAAUAUGACAUUUAACUUAACCUCAUUUUAUAUUUAUGCCCUCCAACUUUGAAUGUGCACAAGUAGACACUUGAAUUUGUAUAAAAUUGAACAAAUAGACACACACGUCCUACGUGGCAUUCUACAUGUCAAUUUGUGUCCUAUGUGUAUUAUGCUACAUAGGACUCAUAUGUCUACUUGUUCAACUUUAUACAAGUUUAAGUGUCUACUUGUGCACACAAAAGUUGAAGGGUCUAAAUGUGAAAUGAGGCCAAGUUAAAAGGGACAUUUAUGUAUUAUGCCAAAUUUAUAUUAUCAUAAAAUGUCAUGAUGUAUUGAGCUACUUAAAUUAAUAAUACCGUCUAGAAUUGCGUACAAAAAAAACACAUAGAAUGAAGAUUAACCACCCCACAGUCUUACUUGAAACAACAAACCAACUCUUAUCCAAAGGGUUGAGAUAGGCCUAAACCAUUAGAAACACAUUUUUCCCCAACCAAACUAAAGCUAAAUAAAAGCACAGAUAGAUGAUUGGAAGAAAAGAACAAAGGGUUCAAAAAUGCUUUUAAAAUUUAUUGGCCAAACACUAAUUGUUUCUUACCAAAAGUGUUUUCUUUAAGAAAAAUAAUUUUCAUAAUAAGCUAAUUUUAAAAGUUUCGACAAAAUAAAUCCUUCUCUAAUACAUAUAAUUGGUAACUUAAUUAAUUAUGACAUGGUAAGUUUUACUUCCAUUAACCAUAAUUUCUCAAUUUUACUAUUAUAAAAAAAAAGGUAAAUUGACUAUUUUAUUCACUUACUAUUCGAUGGAAAACUCAAGUGUAUCUUUCCGCUGUGCUAUUUUUCUCAUUGCUUGCAUUUGUGGUAUGUACGCAUCUACUAUUACAUUAUAUUAUUAAGUAUAAAUUAUACCUACAACUUAAAUAAAAUUAUCAAUAAAGUUAAUGUUAUUAGGGUCGUGCUAUCGAUAACUAGUUUACAUAUACAAACACUAGUGGCAAAAAACUCCAUGUUUCGCAUGGUCCCAAUAUUUAUUCAUGAAGUAAUAUAUAUAUAUAUAUAAAAGAGAAUCUUAGGCCAGUCUACGUGGUCCACCACAAACCAGAAUUCUCUUCAUGUUUACGCCGACCAAUCACUCGCCGCUGAUCAUGUAUGACUUCUAAUAAGGACACGAGAACAUUCCCAUUCAUGUAAUACACAAUAUUUUCAGUAUGAACUUCACUUAGGCAUAGUUGACGAAGAAGAUCGUGAAUUUUGCAAGUUUCUAUCCUUCCAUUAGCUCUUUAUUUACCAGUCAAAAUUAGACUUCUAUCAAUUAACUCUUGUAGAUACUCCUCUGCCACAACUUCUAACCUUUUAUUUUUCUUGCCUUAACGAAUUUCUCAGCAAUCCUUAGCCUAAUCAACUUGGAAACAUUAAUCUCUCUGUCUUCUGGAGAACCUCCAACAUAGAGAAAACAAGCCUUCAAAUAUUGGGUCAAAUAAUUGUAGCGAAUUGAUUGACACCGUUCAGAUACGGUACCAAAGAAUGAGUUCAGACAAAAUAAAUGGAGCCCACAGUGGACAAUGAAAUAUACUUUAACGGAAAACAAAGCUGCAAUAAUCUGAACCAAUGAGAAAAAAGAAAUCAGCUCAAACGACUCAACUACCCUCAACAGGCAAGCAAGGUAUGUUGACCUGUUGCCUGCUUAAGCUGGUGAAACUCCCUUUUAUAAUUACUAUAUACUAGACAGAGGUGGCCCGUACUUGUUGAAAGAUAUUUGUGAGCUAAAUGCACACAUACAGAGACAGUCUCACACACACACAUAUUUCUGUAUUUAUAUACAUAGAUGUUAUAUAUAUAGUUGACAAUUGUUUGUGGCUGCGUUAUUUACAUAUUGCACUAUUUACGUAGUGCUGCAUCUUCCCUGCUUUCCUGCAGUUUUAAGUCAGAGCUUAAGAAGAAGUACCUGCGCAAGAAGAGAGAAAAUGAAUUUAAGUUCAACGUUGGAAUAUUUAGUUAUACAUGUAUAUCUAUGUAUGCAUUUUUAUGUUAUGAUUUUAGCCAUUUUGACGACCUUAUAAUCUUCUCCUGUUUGAUAAGAGUUGCAUUUGUGAACAAUAAUAUAAUCAAAUUGUAGCAGGUAUAGUGUAGUGGUAAAAGUGUGAUUGUGAAGUAAAUAAAUCAGUGUGAAGUAUAUAUAUAUAAGGAUAUCUACGACACUGUAAAGAGCACAAACCUAAAGCCAACCACUAAAGCAGUGGCUUUAGGUACCAAAUAAAUUAGGGCGUCAAAAUUAGAAAUUUCCGUGGCUCCGAAAGAAGCAAAAACUCCAAGUUCAGUUGAAACAGACAAUACGAACAUAUAUAUCCAAAAACAUAGAUUUGAUUAAACGAAAAACACAACUCGAGAUCUAACCAAAAGCAGAGCAAGCACAGAGUAAAACACAUAAACAGUAAACCCAAAAGAUGAAGGAGAUACAUACAUACGUUACAUGAGAUAUUAUCUGGUGACAAGAUGUGAUAUUAUUGACGCCACCUUUAGACUUUAAAACUAACAUUACUAUAUGAUAAUGAACUAUUAGUAACCUUAACUCAAUAAAAACUUAAGUCACAUCAAAUAUUUAUAUAAUAUCUAUAUUCAAUAGACAUGUCGUAGUGCUGCUGGGAUCAUCGCCAUAUUAGGCUGCCACAACAGUAAUUAAAAUUCCGAGACAUCCAUCUAACAUAGCAGUUGAGACAUGAAAAAUGUAAUCCUUAAAUCUUAAAAGCUUCAAAAGAAGGAAGAACCAAUGCAGAACCUAGCUAAGACUGAACAGCAGAAAAAGGGUGAACCACAGAGGGGUUCAUGGGCCGUGAACAGGACCACAACCCGUCACCCUCGUCGUGUUUCACAUACAGCAGGGCACGGAGGUCCACUAGCCCCUACACUGACCGUGGAACCCCACACGGUCCAUCAAUAUGCUCGUGAAAGCAUGCCAGAGACCCCUGUCACGCCCCGAGGCUAUCCCCUUGACGUAAACAUGGGACCUAGGAUCAGGAGUGACCCCAGGCUAACCCUGAAGCUGACAUAUCAUAAGCAUACUAAAACAACUGAAUAAAAAGAUACUAUGCUGAAGCCAAAACAAGAGAUAACUGAAAGAUGGGGAAUACCCAAAACUGAUCUGAAUAAAUAAAAUGUACUAUGAGUUUCGUGAUCCUAAACAAUCACUCUAAGCUAAAGUUGAAUCGACAUGCCCCCAGCUAACUCUAGCAAAACUGAAAACUGAAAUGAAAGACUAAAUGUGAAAAAAACAUGUCUAUUGUCCUCGAAGUAUGAGGACUCACCACUGAAGCUGCUGAAUGCGGACCGAUAAUCGAUCUAAGCGUGAUCUGGAUGCUGAGUACUGUUGACACCCAAUUUUGACCCUCCCCGAUAGGAAUAAAUUUUUAAGCUUAUUUAAUUUCAAAUAAUUUGAAAUAAUUAGCUUUGCGAGGUUCAAAUAUUUUUUCAAGUUACUUUUAAGAAUUUUAGUUACUUUUCAUAAUAUUUUAAAUAUUUCAAAUAAUAAAUAUAUGUAUAUUUUAUAUAUAAUUAGUAUAUUUUAUAAACAAAAAUCACCUCAAGAUGUUACAUUUUUAGAUAAGUACUUUAUUAAUUUAGUUUAAAUCAUAUUUGCCAUUUCGAAUAUUAGUUCGUAUUUUAAAUUAAUUACCUUAUAAUCGAAUUAAUUAUUUUAUUUCGUUAGGAUUAAGAAGCUCAUUAAUUGAUUUAUACUAAUUCAUCUUUUAUUUAUUUUAGCCUAAUCACCAACUAAACUAAUUUGUCUAGAUUUUUAAUUCCAAUUGGCUACGAUUGAAAUUCAUACGGUCAUUUUUCUAAAUUACAAUUUUAGUGAUCCUUCAACUAAAUUGCAAGACCAAGAAUUUGGGCCUUUCCUUCAAAUUUUCAGCAUCCUAAUCUUGCCAACCCAGGCCCAUUUCUUCCCAAAGAAACCAAUUUCAGCAAUUCCAACUUUCCUCAACCCCAGCCCAAACCUUGUUCUCAAAGAAGACCCAUGCGUCUCUUUCAACGUUUAGAAGCAGCUUGCAAGCGCUAGCAACAAUUUCAGACGCGUACAACUCAACCUCCGACCCCGUACGCGUCUUCUUCUCCCUCACGCGUCAACAACAGCACCUCCAUCAACAAGUUCACGGCGUGAACUCGAGGACAUCAACAAAUACACAGCGAUUCCAAACGGAAAGCAAAGCGCGUCAAUUCAAGCGGCGUCAAAUAGACGGAAGGCAAAAUUCUAACGUCUCCAAAGACAGAGGACGCGUCUCCUUCCUCAAGCUAGUACGAUCUUAUACAACUUUUCCUCGAUUCCAGCUGCUGUUUCGUCCUCGCCAGCACGAGAUAAGGCCACGUCGCCCAAGGACAAUCGAAUCGAUCAAGAGCGUCCAUCUCCUCUUUCCUCUUCUGGAAUUGGGCGAAAUUUCAGAAAAAAGGUGUCUCAAGGUUUCUGGAGUUUGAAUUUCGAAAUGGGCCCAAUUCCUAUCCAAAUUUCAUCAGUUUCCCCCAAAAUUCCGAACCCUACUUUUCCUCUAUAUAAACCCCCUCUUUUUCUUUGUUAGGGGUUGGAUUUUUUUUUAGCAAUAGAACAGAGAACAACUUAAGCAAAAAAGACAUACUAAAUACAUUUCAAGAAACCAGAGGAGAUAGUCAGUUUCAGUGUUCGGGUCCAACGUUCUGCUUGGAUUUCUUGGUUAUUGCUCGAGUCGGAACGUGCGUGGUGAAGUCGUGGUUUCCUUGCUCAUUUUCGUCUCCGUUCACUGCACUUUGAAAGGUAAUACUCAUUUUUCGUUUCAAGCAUUUUGCUUUUAACGUGUUGUUGCUUGAUUCUUGAUUGUGAAGAUGUUUACAUGUUAGCAUUUGGGAAUGUUUCUGACUCAUUGUUGGCUGCGAAUCAGUGAUAAAGUUUGUUCAAUAGUCCUUUGCUGUUUGUUCGUUCUUCGUUUUCAAAAUGGUUUUAAUACUCGUUUGAGUUUAUACUGCUGUCUGUGUUCUUCCUGCAUUCAUGGCCAUCAUGCUUGCCGUUUAAUGUUUAGCCUUCCUUUAUGGGUUUGUUUUGGUUCGUCCUGUUUGUUGUUGAUAGUAUGGAGUUAGUUCUAGGUUAGGAUUCAUGUUUGGUUUAACAUAGUUUUACCCUCGUCUUGAACAGUGAUAAGUAUUCCAGUUUUAGUUUUCAUCAUCGUGUAACAUGAAAUUAUCUAUUGUAAGCAUAACCGGUUGGUAGCUCACCCAUUUAUUUGGUGUUAUUAAUGAACCAUGUCAGCCUCUUUGAAUAUGGUGUUGGUCUCUACCUAUAUGUACUUAUAAGCAUGAUAAGUUGAGUAAAGAUGUUUGCCUUGUUUAGUUGUUUGAAUAUAAUAAUGGCUUUCUUCAAAAACUGCUUUGGCCUGCUUCUUUUGUUUUAUGUAUAGCGUUCUGUCCAUUAGCAUGAUAAAAUAGCAUUAUUAGGCUUCAUUUAGUAGAGUUAUUUUGAUCAUAGUAUGAGGUGUGUUACUUGUUGAUUUUGUAGCAUGGCUUUUCUGUUGACAUUUGGAAAUACUGUUGAUUAUCGACUAGGUAUAUAUUUGUUCUUGUUUUCCCCCCCUUUUGUACGUCCCCUUAGAUUUUAUUGCUCAUAGGUAUAUGCAGGUUAUUGAUAAGUAUUCUAGCAUUGUUUGUCAAUUUUUGUCAUUUAUCAAGUUAAUUUAGUUUUGUCUUCCUCAAAGUCACCGGUUACGUUUGAGUUCAAUACUUGGGUUGGUUUUUCUUGGUUUUCGAUUUGCUUGGUUGAUUUUUCAUUUCAAUUGAUCUGUGUUUUGUUUAAGUCAUGUCUCAUUUGUUUUAUCAUUUCGAAUGCUAAUUCUUGUCUUUUUGUUUUGUUGUAUGAACCCUCUCCGAGUCCAUGAUGGAUUUUCCUUCCUUUGCAUUCCCGAAUCGAGCCAUAAAGGGUCAAUCUCUUUUCGUCAUCGAGUCAGCCAAUAUAGGGUAUACAGGGAAGAAAUGCGAAAAUACAGGAGGCUGGAAGUUGGAUUUUUGGUGUCCAAAAAUCCCAAAAGAGACUGAUAUACCUGCUGUAUACAUUGGUAUAUAGUCGGAAAAUAUUAUAUACAGGUCAAAACGUCAGAAUACAGGUGGAAAAUGCAGAAAUACAGAAUUUAAAUAAAAUUACAGGUCCGGGAGUUCGAGAAUUAGUGGUAUACAUGGUGUAUACAUCAAAUAUACACCUGGUGUAUAUCAUGACUAAUUAGAAUGAAAGGGGCAAAAAGCCCAAGGAAUUUUUCAGCAGGUCCAGCAGGUGUAAAAAUGGGCAAGAUCAUUUUUAGAUUUAGGACAAGGAAAUUGAUCUGGGCCUAUCAGAUUUGAGGAUUUGGGCAAAUUGGCCAAGUUCAAUUUUCUCUCCUUUCUCCUCUUUAUUUAUUUGUUAUUGUAUUGACUAGCAUUUUGAUCUAACUUAAUUAAUUCCCAAAAGAUAAGUCAUUUCUCUUUUUAUGUCCAAUAUAUAUAUAUAUAUAUAUAUAUAUAUUACUUAGCUUUAUUUUUAUUAUCAGUCUUGUCAACACUUGAAUUAUUUCCCUUAGAAAAUUUCCCUUUAGUUUAUUUCCCUUAAAUAAAAAAUGAGUUUUAUUUCUUAAUAAAAGUCUUAAAAGUUAGUUGAAAGCCAUUUUAGUCAAAUCGCUGGUCAACCACAAGUUAACGGAUAUUUCGAAGGCCUAAUACCUUUUCGGAAUGUACAUUGAACUUGAACCCUUUUAUUUUCAAUUGAUUUUGUCUGUUUAAAUCCUUUCAAAUAACUUUGAAUUUUUCUUGAUUUUUACUGAAAAUCUGAGUGGCGACUCUGUUUCUUUUGGAAAUUCAAUUUCUCUUCAAACCAUAUGUUUAGUCGAUUUUUUGAAAUAAGUCAUUUUUCUUUUAUUUUUUUCAAGUAAAACAAGUACCUGAACCUACAUCAUGAAAGGAUGUAGCAGAGUAUGCGUCAGUACUUGGAAUGUACUGAGCAUGCAAGAUAUAGAAUAUAGUUGAACAAACAUAUAAACUGAACAAAACGUAACUGAGUAAUGAUAUAAAUGAAUAUGAAUGUAAAUACUGCAAUAUACUGAAAGCUGAACUAUAUGCAAUGACCUAGUACUAAAUCCUGAAUAUGACGUGCUCACUGAAUACCAAAGUAUAGACUGAAAACCUGGUCAAAAUGCACUAAAGUCUGACUGUGGGGAACUACUAUUAACCGACAUAAACCACGUGAGCUAAACAUGGAGUCCGAUGUAUAUGCUCCAUCGAGAGGACCCAAUAUACCUUGCCAGGGGUAUAAAGGCAUGACUGGCGUGAUCACUAAAUCUGAUGCCCACAGAGGAGACUUAUAAACCUACGAGGGCAUGUAGUUCUGGGACUAAGAGGGUAACUAAACCCUAGUCCAACUCGGUGUUAAGCCUACUCCCAACUGGAAAUGUGUACAAUACAAUAUAACUGAAAUAUACUGGAUAGCUCAAUAUUCUGACAUGCAAAUCUGAGAAUGCAACAUUUAAGACUGACAAUGUAAUAUUCAAAAACUGAAGUAUGUUUAUCUAUUUAACUGACCUAGCAAGUGUAAUUCAUGAACUAAGAGAAUCUACACAACUAGGGUUCUGAGUUUCAUGCAAGAACUAAGCAACAAUGUCACGAAAACAUGAUAAUCUGAUUGAGAACACUAUAACAACUAAAUCACAACAAUUAACUAAAGUUCUAGAAACCCUAGGUCUAAACAAGAUAUAGAUAAUCAAGAAUCUGAUUGAAUUCUAAGGACCUAGUGGCUAAAAGGAACCCACUAGUGAAAUCCCACAUACUUGGUGACGAAAUCUACGGAGAAAUCCUUCGAUUUCAAGGCUGAAAGUGAAGAAAACCUGCUACGUGUUCUUGAGGGGUUGGUCGGCUCUUUCUCCUUUUUUUCGCUCUAAGUUCUGGUGAAUUUUGGUGAAUAAAGGUUUUGGUUAUGUUUUGACUAGGUUAUUAGGCUUAAACUGAGUAAAAUGACGUAGUUAAAGCAUCAAACGACGUAGUUUAAGUUCCCAAUGCAUAAGGGAAAGGACCAAAAUGACCUUGAUUUAAUUCUGACGAAGCCCAUCCACAGAGGGAAUGACGGUCCGUCUUUUGGACUACGAUCGACGUUUGGGUUCGUCAUCACGGCUUCACUAAAACGAGCAUAACGUUUUACUCGGAGAUGUGAUUUUAGCAAACUCAGUAGCGUUGGAAAGAGGAUUCAAUUAUCUUUAAUUUGAUAGGUCAUAGGCCACCUAAUUUCUUUUGUGCUAAAAGUUAUGACCGUUUGAAGUUGAUCCAUCCUCUAACUGACUACUGACCCUCACCUACGGAUCGUACUGGUCGACCGUGGGUGGGAUCAGAGACUAUAAAGAUUUGGGCCUUAACGAAGGAACCCCACCUACGGUUUGUGGUCUUACCUACGGUCCAUGGGUGGUUCCGUUAGUACCGGCACCAGAUUUUCUGAAAACUAGGAUUUUCUUCAUUUUGAUAUUCGAGGUGUUACACCCCCCAAGGAUAGUGAGGAACCAUGGACCACUAGACAGUCCGUGGAACCCCACACGGUCCGUAAAGUAUGUCGUGGAAAUGACUCAGUGCAACCCCAACUCAUGUGAAGAACCACGGUGGCCUACACGACUCGUGGUGCUUCACUCGGUCCGUGAAAUGGACCGUGAAUGGGGCAAUUCAGCCUUCAAGUUUUGGAUCAACUUAAAACGGUCAUAAAUUUUAGCACAAAAUGAAUUAGGUGGUCCAUAACCUAUCAAAUUAAAGAUAAUUGAAUACUCUUUCAAACGCCACCGAGUUUGCUAAAAUCCAAGCUUGGAGUAAAAAGCUAUGCUCGUUUUAGUGAAGCCCUGUGGGGCAGAGCAUCUUCACGAGCUGCUAGACGGGCCUUGGUCAUCAUGACGGCUCAUGAAGCCUGUCUUGAAGACACUUCGGCAGAAUUAUGCGUUGGGCACUUAAACUACGUUGUUUGAUGCCUAAACUACGUCGCUUUACUCAGUCUAAGCCUAAUAAUCUAGUCAGAACCUACCCCAAAACCUUCAUUCUUCUAAAAUCACCCAACUUAGAGAAGAGAAAGAAGUGACCAGCUUUAUCAAGAACAAGCAGAAGCAUGCUUCGAAGUUCAGCCCCAAAAUCCAAAGGAUUUCUCCGUAGAUUUCGUCACCGGGUAUGUGAAUUUCACUAGUGUUCCUUUCACCCAUUAGGUCCCUAGAAUUCAGAUAGUUCUUCAGAUUUUCAUAAACUGUUCAGACCCAAGGUUUUUAUAUUUUCAAAAUUUAUUGUGAUUAUGGUUCUGUUGAUCUAAAUAACUUGUUUCUUGAUAAUCUUAGUAUAAUUCCAUGCAUAGCACUCAUCAUGACUCUUCAGGUAGCUGGCAUUGGUCCCCUUUUUUCAUCAUUCCUGAAGUUUAUUAAAUCAUCAAAACUUUACAUCAACAACAAAAUAGCAAACAUCAAUUAAUGCAUUAGAAGGCUCAAUUAAUCAAAAUAAAUCAUAAUUGGAAGAAACCCACAUUCCUUGUAACUUAAGGCAUAACAUUGUAAAAUAUUACUCCAUAAAUUUCAAUAGUUAAAAAGGGUAUCAUCUAAUUAAGUCAAAAUAAGUGAAGCCCACAGAUGGCAAUGAAAUAUAUAGCACAAGGAAAACAAAGCUACACUGCAAUAAUAUGAACUUGUGAGAAAAAAGAAAUGAGCUCAAAUGACUCAACUACCCUCAGCAGGCAAGCAUGCAUGUUGACCCGCUCCCUUCAUCCCAUUGUAUAUGAGUUAGUUUGAUUUGACAUAAAGUUUAAAGAAAAAAAAAUGACUUUUGAAAUUUGUGGUCUAAAAUAAGUGAUACUCCCUCCAUUCCUAUUUAUAUGUCGUAUUUACUAAAAAUAAAUGAUCAUUAAUAUUUGUCAUUUCACAAAAUCAAUGCAUAAAACUAUUAUUUCUAUUUUACCUUUUGAAAGCUAUUAACCUUGAAAGUAUUUGUUUGCCUAAAGGAUUUUUUAAUUAACACCCCCCCCCCCUUUUGACCUUCUCUUUCAUCCGAACCGAACCUCUUCAAACUACAACCUGUUUAGAAAUCAGCCCAAUCGUACCUCCUCAAACUACAACCUGUGUUACACCCCGAAGCUACCCCCAAGAUGCGGACAUGGGACCUAGGAUCACAAGUGACCCCAACCUAACCUUGAGCUGACAUAUCAUAAGCAUACUAAUAUAAACUGGAAUAAGAAGUAUUAAGCGGAAGCAUAAGACAUGAGAUAAACUGAAAAUGAUGUGGAAUACUUAUUCUAAGUCUGAAUAUAAAUCAGAGAGUUUAAUAACAAAUGAAAUAUCAAAUUCCAAGCUAAAACUGAAUCUAACUAUGUUUGAAAUAAAGCCUCUAACUGACAAGAAAUGUUGGGACAUGACCCAGCUAGAUCUAGCAAAAACUGAAACUAAAGACUAAAAGUAGAAAGGAAACAUGUCUGUAAUCCUCGGAGAAUGAGGACUCACCACUGAUGCUGCUGAGCUGAAGAUCGGGAACCAAUCUAUGCGUGAUCUAGAAACUGAGGACCUGAACCUACAUCACGAGAAGAUGUAGCACAAAGUAUGCGUCAGUACUUGAAAGGUACUGAACAUGCAUGAUAGAAUAAAGUUGAACAAUAUACAUAACUGAUCAAAACAUAUAACUGAGCAAUGAUAUAAGAUGAGCAUGAUACUAUACUGAAAGUAUUGAACAUGAUCUAACUGAAUGCAAUGACCAAGUUUAUUACAUACUGAGACUGAAAUCUGACUGUAACUGAUAACAUGGUCAAUGCAAAGAAAUCUGACUGUGGGAGCUACUAAUAACCGACAUAAAACCACAUGAGCUAAAUGUGGAGUCUGAUGUAUACACCCCAUCGAGAGGACCCAAUAUACCCUACCAUAGGUAUAAAGGCAUGACUGGCGUGAUCACUAAAUUAAUGCCCACAGAGGGGACUUACAACCUACGGAUAGCUCGGUAUUAAGCUGUCACUACCCGAGAGCACCCCCCAAGUCGUAACAUGCGUAUUCGACCUCUCGGAGGUCUCAUACAAGCCCUUAGCAUUCAUCACAUUAGAUAUGUAAAAUAGUGCGGAAUUAAAAACUCUUUAAAUAAAAUCCCAUAAGACUUAAAGGUCACUUUUAAAAACAUCAUUCAAAAGUACACAAGCGGAAUACUAAGUCUCUUAGCCAUCUUAGACAUAAACGUGAAAACAUACUAGGGACACGGCCCUUUACAAUCAAAAGAAGUCUAUUAAGUCUAUUACAAGAACCUUAUCAUAAAACUAGAAUAGAAAANNNNNNNNNNNNNNNNNNNNNNNNNNNNNNNNNNNNNNNNNNNNNNNNNNNNNNNNNNNNNNNNNNNNNNNNNNNNNNNNNNNNNNNNNNNNNNNNNNNNNNNNNNNNNNNNNNNNNNNNNNNNNNNNNNNNNNNNNNNNNNNNNNNNNNNNNNNNNNNNNNNNNNNNNNNNNNNNNNNNNNNNNNNNNNNNNNNNNNNNNNNNNNNNNNNNNNNNNNNNNNNNNNNNNNNNNNNNNNNNNNNNNNNNNNNNNNNNNNNNNNNNNNNNNNNNNNNNNNNNNNNNNNNNNNNNNNNNNNNNNNNNNNNNNNNNNNNNNNNNNNNNNNNNNNNNNNNNNNNNNNNNNNNNNNNNNNNNNNNNNNNNNNNNNNNNNNNNNNNNNNNNNNNNNNNNNNNNNNNNNNNNNNNNNNNNNNNNNNNNNNNNNNNNNNNNNNNNNNNNNNNNNNNNNNNNNNNNNNNNNNNNNNNNNNNNNNNNNNNNNNNNNNNNNNNNNNNNNNNNNNNNNNNNNNNNNNNNNNNNNNNNNNNNNNNNNNNNNNNNNNNNNNNNNNNNNNNNNNNNNNNNNNNNNNNNNNNNNNNNNNNNNNNNNNNNNNNNNNNNNNNNNNNNNNNNNNNNNNNNNNNNNNNNNNNNNNNNNNNNNNNNNNNNNNNNNNNNNNNNNNNNNNNNNNNNNNNNNNNNNNNNNNNNNNNNNNNNNNNNNNNNNNNNNNNNNNNNNNNNNNNNNNNNNNNNNNNNNNNNNNNNNNNNNNNNNNNNNNNNNNNNNNNNNNNNNNNNNNNNNNNNNNNNNNNNNNNNNNNNNNNNNNNNNNNNNNNNNNNNNNNNNNNNNNNNNNNNNNNNNNNNNNNNNNNNNNNNNNNNNNNNNNNNNNNNNNNNNNNNNNNNNNNNNNNNNNNNNNNNNNNNNNNNNNNNNNNNNNNNNNNNNNNNNNNNNNNNNNNNNNNNNNNNNNNNNNNNNNNNNNNNNNNNNNNNNNNNNNNNNNNNNNNNNNNACAUUCGUGGACGAAUGUUCCCAAGGGGGAGAUAUUGAAAUGACCCAAAAAGUUCUUAAAAAUGUGCUUCGGAAGUUACCGGAAACUUGUUUAGCUAUAUAUAAAACAAUCAUUUCGUUUUUUUGAAAAUACGACUUCAUAUUCUUGUUUAGGGGGUCAAAUUGAGUGGAAAUGGGUCUAACCCAAAUUUUAGAGCAACCGUAUCAAAAUCCGAAAUUUCCAAGUGAAGCCUUUUUUCGAGGGUCUACUUUGGAGGGUCAUAUCUCCUAGCACACAAAUUAUUGGGUGGACAAUAACAUAUCCAUGGAAAGCCCUUUGAGUUAGCUACCUAACGCACUUCGUUUCACCUCAUUCGGAGUCCGGAUGAAAAAGUUAUGCCCAUUUUCGUAAAAUCUGUCCGGCAGGAAAGACAAUUUCCAGAGAGCGUUUUUACUGUUCACCCUCCUCAUUUUUUUUUCUAAGUGUUGGACCAUUUUUCCAAAGGGCAUAUGUUUAUUUCCUAUAUACCAUUAGUUCAAUUCUCAUCUCUAAAACAUUUUCCAAAACACCUCUCCCAUACUUAGACACAAGAACAAGAUAUAACACUUCCACCUAAGGUGGAUUCAACCUACCAACAACAAUCGUCACAUAUGGACAUUUAAAGAGAACUAUACUUUCAAUUACACUACAAUAACACUUUGUACAAGAUCACCUUAUAACCAUAAGAAUACCUUCACAUAUUUACCUUCACAUAGUACUAUAACACUUCAUAACUUGAUAACACUUUAAUUCAAUAGCUAGUGCCUUCAAGGCCAUAUUCAUAAUACAAUCCAUAAUUAAACACCUCCACCAUAAGUGGAUCAAACCAAGCAAGAACAAUUAUAUCAAUAAUAUGAGAUUAAGCCAACUUACCAUCCUCCAAAGCCAUCCUCAACAUUAAUCAAUAGAUAUAGAAAAUCAUAAACAUCAACAAUACAAUCUAUUCUAAGCAUAAAUUCAUCAAUACCCAAUCAUUAUCAACAAACCCAUUUCGUAAGUCAAAUAUAGAAAUUUGUGAAAUCAAGCGUUCAUGAGAUUUUUCACUUGAAAACAUCAAUUUAAUAUCAACAAUAUCACAAUCCAUCAUUUAAAACCACUUAAUGCAAGAACCCUUGAGUAGAGUAACAAAUAGAAGUUUUUCAUAACUUUUGAGAAUUGAAAACCCUUUGAAAUUGGUUCUAAAGCGAAAACUAGCUUUAGAUAAAGAGCCACCAUACCUUAGUAUUGAGAAAACCCACAAAAAUUUGAUGCAAGAAACCUUCAAUUCGAAACCCUAGCUCCAACUUGACCUUUGCCUUCAAUGGUGUUCUAGAGAGAACCCCCCCUUUUUUUUGAAGAAUGAAUUAAAACAAACCUUUUUAAAAGUUUUAAUACCAUAUAUAGAAAUUAGAAAUAAUCUAAAAUAUACCCACUUUUUAAUUUAACUAAAAUUAAUAUUUACGAAAAUGCCCCUUGCCUACAUGGACCUACCAAAUAAAACUAAGGCAAAGUCCAAUUUUCAUUUUGGAAAAUUUCAUAACUCCAAUUUAUGCUUAAACUUAAAAAAUUCAUACGUUAGGCUCUAGUUUCACCUAUCUAUUUUUAGGGUCGUUACAUAAGCUACUCCUAAUUGAUUAUGUAAUUAACAAUUUAUGACUGAAUUCUGUAAUACUGGAUAGCUCGCUUACUGACAUGCAAACUCUAAGAAUGCAAUAAUUAUAUCUGAUAAUAUGACAUUCGUAAACUGAAGCAUAUAUAUAACUAAAAUAACUGACCUAACAUGUAUAAUUCAUGAACUAAAAUAACUACAUAGCUAGGGUUCUAAAUUCAUAAAAGAAUCUACGCAAAAUAAUACUAAAAUCAUGAUGAUCUGAUUAGGAACAUUAAAGUAACUAUUUCAUAAUAAUCUACUAAAUUUCUAGAAACCCUAGGUGGUCUAGAUAAUUUGAAGGAAAUCAAGAAUAUGACUGAAUUCUAGGGACCCAAUGGGUGAAAGGAACCCACCAGUGAAAUCUCACAUACCUGAUGACAACUUUCACGAAGAAAUCUUUCGAUUUCAGGGCUGAAACUAAUGAAAACCUGUUGCGUUCUUGGAGAGGGGUUGGUCGACUCUUUCUUCUCUCUGCGUGCUAAGUUUUCUAAAUUUUGGUGAAUGAUUUGCUUAGGGUAGAUUCUAAUUAAGUUACUAGGCUAAAACUGACCAAAACCACGUAGUUUAAGGGUUAAACAAUGUAGUUUAGGGGUCCAAUGCAUAAUGAAAAGACCAAACGACCCCUGACUUAAAAACUGUCGGGAACUUCCCUGGACCAUAGACUGUGGCCUGACCUACUGUCCGUAGGUCCUCGCAUAUGUCUGGACUUAGAAUAAUUUUCUGGGCUUUUCUGGGGAGGGUUGCAGAUGGUGAACCACGAACCACCAGGACGGACCGUGGGUCACCCUACGGUCCGUAGGUGACAACCGUGGGUUGCACCUGCAACUUCUAAAAUUUGCAUUUUGGUAGUUUUACAAUACGGGGUGUUACAAUCUAAAUAGAAAUCAGCCCAACCUAACAAUUUUACAAUAUACAGUUCACAAGGCUUAACACUCACAGACCAAUAGUCACAGUUCAACAACCAAUAAGCUUCAAGUAUAUCAAUCACACAUAUCAAGUAGGUCAUUCACACAUAUCAAGUAGAUUAAUCACAAGUGUCUAGUAGAUCAAUCACAAGUAUCAAAAUUCAUCAAAUUAGAAUAAUCAAACUCUUGCCGAAACCAUUUCCCUUCGAUACAAUAUCACUAGACGGAACCAUUUCCCUUUGACUUUAUAUCAUAACAUUGUAAAAUAUUACUCCAUAAAUUUCAAUAGUUAAAAAGGUGGCAUGUAAGUCAAAAUAAGUGAAGCCCACAGUGGGCAAUGAAAUAUACUUUGAAGGUCUAAAAAACGUCUUUACAGUAGAAGGAAAACAAAGCUGCAAUAAUAUGAACCAAUGAAAAAAAAAAAUUAGCUCAAAAGACUCAACUACCCUCGGCAGGCAAGCAGGCAUGUUGACCUGUUGUUUGCAUGAGCUGGUGAAACUCCCUUUUAUAAUAAAGUACUAGAUUUUGUUGCCCGUGCUAUGCACGGGCCCAAUAACAUAAAUGGUAUGUUUUGGGGCUAAUAACGAAAUUUUUGAAGCGAUUGUUUGCGUGGAUAAAGGAAUAAGUUUUUUUAUCACAAACCUGUACUUUCUUUGACGCUAUUCAAGGCACAAUAAGACUACCCACAUACAACAUUUUUGAACAAUUUUAUGUUGUCAAUUAUCACGAUUUAAUUUUAAGAAUCAGUCAAUUUUUUUUUCUGUUUUUUUAAUAAAUAUUUUAAGUUGUCAAUUAUCACGAUUUAUUGUAUUUUAUACAUAAUUUUUAACGAUAGAUUAAUUUCAAGAAUCAAUCGAAUUUUUUUAAAUGUAUUUAUUUUUGAAAUAUUUUAUGUUGUCAAUUAUCAUGAUUUAUAGUAUUUUUACGCAAUUUUUAAAUAUAAAAAAUUUAAAAAAAAUAAGACAAAUAAAUUAAAAUGGACCCAAUAUAUGUUAUUUUUGUUGUCUCAAUUUAUGUGACACAAAUGAAAUUUGGAGAGUCAUUGAAUAUUAUAUAUUAUACUUGGGCAUAAACUCUCUUACGCACGGGCCCAAUAACUAUUAUUUUUUGUCCUAAUGUAUGUGACACAGAUAAAAUAUAGUGAGUUAUUUAAAUUUAAUAUGAUUUUUAAAUAUUUUAAGUUGUUAAUAAUGUAAUUUAUAAUAUUUUUACGUAAUUUGUAAAUACUUAAUAUAUAUUACUCCACUUGUCUCAAUGUAUGUAGCAUAGAUAAAAUUUCAAGAGUUAAUCAAAUGUUGUUAAUUGUUAAGACUUACAAUACAUUUUACGUAGCUUUCAGUAAUUUGACAUUAAAUAAUACAUAUUACUACUUUUGUCUCAUUUUAUGUGACAUUGAUAGAUUAAUUUUAAGAAUCAGUUAAUUUCUUUUUUUGUGCAUUUUUAAUAAAUAUUUUAAGUUGUCAAUUAUCACGAUUUAUUGUAUUUUAUACAUAAUUUUUAACGAUAGAUUAAUUUCAAGAAUCAAUCGAAUUUUUUUAAAUGUAUUUAUUUUUGAAAUAUUUUAUGUUGUCAAUUAUCAUGAUUUAUAGUAUUUUUACGAUAGAUUAACUUCAAGAAUCAAUGGAAUUUUUUGUAUCUUUUUCAAAACAUAUUUUAUGUUGUCAAUUAUCAUGAUUUAUAGUAUUUUUACGAUAGAUUAACUUCAAGAAUCAAUGGAAUUUUUGUAUCUUUUUCAAAACAUAUUUUAUGUUGUCAAUUAUCAUGAUUUAUAGUAUUUUUACGCAAUUUGUAAAUAUAAAAAAAAAAUUAAGACAAAUAAAUUAAAAUGGACGAAAUAUAUGCUAUUUUUGUUGUCUCAAUUUAUGUGACACAAAUGAAAUUUGGAGAGUCAUUGAAUAUUAUAUAUUAUACUUGGGCAUAAACUCUCUUACGCACGGGCCCAAUAACUAUUAUUUUUUGUCCUAAUGUAUGUGACACAGAUAAAAUAUAGUGAGUUAUUUAAAUUUAAUAUGAUUUUUAAAUAUUUUAAGUUGUUAAUAAUGUAAUUUAUAAUAUUUUUACGUAAUUUGUAAAUACUUAAUAUAUAUUACUCCACUUGUCUCAAUGUAUGUAGCAUAGAUAAAAUUUCAAGAGUUAAUCAAAUGUUGUUAAUUGUUAAGAUUUACAAUACAUUUUACGUAGCUUUCAGUAAUUUGACAUUAAAUAAUACAUAUUACUACUUUUGUCUCAUUUUAUGUGACAUUGAUAGAUUAAUUUUAAGAAUCAGUUAAUUUCUUUUUUUGUGCAUUUUUAAUAAAUAUUUUAAGUUGUCAAUUAUCACGAUUUAUUGUAUUUUAUACAUAAAUUUUAACGAUAGAUUAAUUUCAAGAAUCAAUCGAAUUUUUUUAAAUGUAUUUAUUUUUGAAAUAUUUUAUGUUGUCAAUUAUCAUGAUUUAUAGUAUUCAAAGCUAGAAAAGGAAAAAAUAUAUAUAUACUCCCCUUGUCCCAUUAUGUAUGAGUAAGUUUGAUUUAACACAAAAUUUAAGGAAAAAAAAGACUUUUGAAAUAUAUGGUCUAACAUAAGUGAUACUCUCUUUGUUCCUAUUUAUAUGUCGUCCUUACUAAAAAUAGAUGGUCUUUAAUAUUUGUCAUUUCACAAAAUGAAUACAUAAAAAAUAUUAUUCUUUCUAUUUUACCCUUUGAAAGUUAUUAACCUUGAAAGUAUACAUUUAUCCAACAUAGAAAAACUAAGUGAUUAAUUUAUUUUUAUUGGUCAAAGUAGUUAAUCAAAGUAAAUUAAUUUAUGUUCAUUUUUUGAAAACUUAACUUCAAGAGAAUACAAAAUAAGGGUACAAUGACAAACUUACUUAGUUUCUUAAAGGGUGUGAAACCUAAAACGGUGACAACUGGAUAGGAAUGGAGGAAGUAGAUGUCUAUGUGACUGUACAUCAUUUCACUAAGGAUAAAAUGAAUAUUUUAAAAUUAAAUUAUCGCUAAAUAUAGAAAUGUGUUAUUUUUUUAGACCGACUAAAAAAGUAAAUGAAUCGUAUAAAUUAGGCAUAAUACAUAAAUAUGUCAUUUAACUUAGCCUCAUUUCACAUUUAUACCUCCAACUUUAAGUGUGCACAAAUAGACACUUAAACUUGUGUAAAGUUGAACAAGUAGACACAUGAGUUCUAUGUGGCAUAAUACACACAAUUUGCCAUGUAGGAUGCGUGUCUAUUUGUUUAAUUUUAUACAAGUUUGAGUGUCUAUUAAUUGUGCAUUCUCAAAGUUAGAGGGCAUAAAUGUAAAAUGAGGUAAAGUUAAAGGACAUAUUUAUAUAUUAUGCUUAUAAAUAUAGGGUAGAGGGAGUAGUAGAUUUCAAAUUGGUAAUAUGGCAAUCAUGAUAUAUUGGAUAGGAUAUUUAUUAAAUAAGUUACAAAUUCUAUUUUUUUACAUAAAAAAAUAUUCCUCUGAGUUGGGGUAGCUUGCUAUCACUUAAUAAAAUGUUUCUUUGAUAUGUAUUAUAAGGAAAUAGGAAGAGCACAUGAACAUAUUAAUUAAGAAUUGAAUAAUAAUCAAAGAUCGAAUUUUAACAUACCUUAGGAGUAGAUUAGAACUAGAAGCUCAUAAUUUCCCAAGCUCUCUUGCUCUUGUUGAAUUCUCUUUGCACUAUUUACUACAGAAGAGCAGCAACGUUUUAUUUUGAUGAAUUUUAGUGUCAUUAUAUCUCCAAUACUCUCCGGAAUCUCCUCCAGUUGAAUAACCCAAUGCAGUAUUAAUUGCUCAAGCAUCGGAAAAUUAUCACUACCAGCUGCUUCCCACCUUUUCAGAUCAUAGUUCCCAUACAGUUGUAGAUAUUUUAAUUUAUGAAACACAACAUCUUCAUCUACUUUCCAAUCUGUUCCAGCAAAUGCAAAAUUCCCUUUGAGCACCUCAAGAUUCGGUAAAUUAGCCAGCAAAUUCACAACUUCCCAUGGUAUACGAGUACGUGUUAAUGUCAACUUCUUGAGAUUAGGAAGAAAAAUAUCUCCUGAGAUAAUCAUCGGAUCAAUGUUUUCUUGUGUUUCUAUGUGUAGUGUCUCCAGAUCCUGUAACAUACUGAGAGAAUCAAGAAAAUCAGGAUGCUUAGAUCUAUUUAAAAUCUUAAGCUUUUUUAGAUUGGGAGUUCUUCUUAUGAUUUCCGCAACAAAAGGAGAGUUACGGAGAUAAAGUGUUUGCAAGUUAUUCAGAAGGCACAAAGGUUGUUCUGCUUCAUCAGGAUUUGAUAUAUAUAGUGGAAUAUCAAUAUCCAAAUGUCUUAUCUCUGACAUUCUCCAGAUAUCUAGUGGCUGCUUCAAUGUUGUUGGUCCGAGAUAGACAUGCCUUCGAAUAAUUAUGGUCUGUAGAUUUCUCAUUUUGGCUAGUGAAAGAGCUUCCUCAAUUCUUACAGCAACAUAUCUCAAAUGUACAAGUUCAGGUAUUACACAAGAGAAAUCGUACAGGACUGGUAACACGUCCAAUACCUUAAGCAACUUGAACUGUGAAACAAUGGAACACAUCCGUGUUGGAAAAUGUACUUGCAUUGAAAUAAAGGUGCGGAUAAUACCACUGCUAUGUUGCAUACCAUAAUCAUGCUUCUCUUCAACUUCAGACAGAAGGAUCAUUCGAUGUUGAUCAUUCCCAUUCAUGACAUGCACAACACUUUUCGUAUGAGCUUCACUUAUGCAUAGUUGGCGAAGAAGAUCAUGAAUUUUGCAAGUUUUCAUCCUUCCAGUAAGACUAUGUGUACCAGUCAAAAUUAGACUUCUAUCAAUUAACUCUUGUACAUACUCCUCUGCCACCACUUCUAACCUUGUAUUGCUUCUUGCCUUUACGAAUUGCUCAGCAAUCCAUAGCCUAAUCAACUUGGAAACAUCAAUCUCUCUGUCUUCUGGAAAAAAUCCAAUGUAGAGAAAACAAUCCCUCAAAUAUUGGGGCAAGUAGUUGUAGCUCAAAGAAAGAAUUGAUUGGCAUCGUUCGGUUACUGUACCAAAGAAUGACUUCAGAUUUUCCUCAACCUCCUUCCAAUUGUCAUGCGUUAAGUCCAUUUUUACAAAAAGUCCAGCAACAACAACAAUAGAGAGAGGUAAUCCUUGACAUUGUCGUACAAUAUGCUUCCCUAUUUCUACAAGUAAAGGAGGACACGGAUCGUUUUUGAAUAAUUUUUCGGU
Molecule: long non-coding RNA, 45901 nt
Filed under: Solanum tuberosum (potato)
Lineage: Eukaryota; Viridiplantae; Streptophyta; Magnoliopsida; Solanales; Solanaceae
Description: long non-coding RNA (STUB_LNC010476)
Source: RNAcentral